RNAcentral lists this long non-coding RNA (46500 nucleotides) under Cucumis sativus (cucumber). RNAcentral's name for it is "long non-coding RNA (CSAT_LNC001012)". The stretch from base 9602 to 9674 matches the Rfam family "tRNA". The record is from RNAcentral. Lineage: Eukaryota; Viridiplantae; Streptophyta; Magnoliopsida; Cucurbitales; Cucurbitaceae.
AUAAUAUGUGGAUGUGAACUGCUUGGCUCUCGUGUGGACUGGGUGUAAAUUAUACCAAGUAUGGUUGUGUGCUAGUGAACUGAAGGGAUGUUAUGAUGACUUAGUUUGUUUGACUGAUGUGUUGAUAUGUUAUUGACUGACUUGGGCUAAAAUGCAAUAAGUUGACGGUUAGGGUAAUAAGUGAAGGGAUUAUGUGUUGAGGUAAUUUUACUGUAUUAUGGUUGACUGACUGAUAAGAUGUUUAGAAUGGACUGAGGGAAAAAAUUAUUAGUUUCCUAUUGGAUAGUUACGUUGCAGGUGUCCUACGAGAUCACUAUCCUUUUUGUGCAUCCUUCGGGAGCACUAAACUGAUAUGUGUUUUUACAGAAGACUAGACUGAUUUAUGCGUCCUUUGGGGCGUUAGACUGAUUAUGUGUAUCCUACAGGAUCACAAGACUAUGACUGUGCAGGGUACUCCAUAGGAAGUUAAUAGUUUAUUUUUCCCCAAACGGGACCAAUAGUAGGUCUCUUACCGGGUAUGUUUAUACUCACCAUUUUAUGUUUAACUAUUUCAGGAAAAGGUAACAAAGGAGGUAAACCGACGAGGGACAAGAAGGAGACGUGAUUGCCAUAGGGGAACGUCUUUCAAAUGCUUCCGCUUUAUGUUUUUCAUGUUUUUCUUAGUACAUGAGGUUGUUUAAAAAUUUUGUGAUGGAACUAAUUUUACGAAAACAGUACUUUUAAAGUUUUGGUUAUUUGAAAUAGGGUCUGACUUAAGGUUGUUUUCUUUGAUAGUAUGAUUUCAAAUGAAUUUUACUAUAUUUUGUGACAAUCAAGGUCUCUUUGUCAAAAUUAAUGACUUCAACUUAGUUAGAAAAAUUGGGUCGUUACACUAAGAACUAGGCAAGUCUUGUUUUGCUUAGACCAAAAGUGAAGAGUUUCUUAUGCAAGUUAUGAUACCGAAGAAGUUCAAUGCAUUUUACCUAACCUUAACGACUUCUCUCUCUUUUUCAUUCUAGGAGCUAUUAUGCUAGGUGAAGAAUUGUAAGAACGAGGUAAGUUCAAAAAGUGAGAAAAAAGCACUUCAAGACCCAAAAUGCAACCAAGUAUGUUAGUGCAACAAACUUAUUGUAAAACCAAUCUAAAACGUUCUCAAAAUGUGUCUAGGUAUUACUUUAAUUUUCAAAACGAUCUAGCAAAUCGUAAGUGUAAGUUCGUAACUCAUAAUCCACCAAAAAGUUCUAAAAGGUUGAAAAAAGCACUUCAAAACCCAAAAUGAAAACCAAAUGUGUAAGUGCAAGAAACUCAAUCUAACCUAAAAUGUAUUCAAAACAUGUGUAAGUAUCACUUGAAUUUUCAAAACAACCAAAGAAUAAUGCGUUAGUGUAAGUUUGUAACUUACAACCUACCAAAAUUUCAAACAGAGUGAAAAAAACACUUCAAGACCCAACAUGUCAACCAAGUGUGUAAGUGCAACAAACUUUAGUGUGUUUUGAUUAUCUUUUAAAGUUCGCAAGGAUAAGUGAGCAAGUUGAGACAUUGUCUUACAAGUGGAGGGAAAUACGAGGCUGAAGAUGACAAAAGGGUCUCACCUAAGAAGACAAGAAAAAAAACUGCCAUCAAACAUGAAAAGAAGAAGAAAAGCAAAGUUGGUACUUCUAGAACUUAAGGAAGCCAACAAAGCCCCAAAGUUCAACAUUGCCAAGGAAAUGAAGGUAGAGAAGGACCUCUUUCCUUUCAUUGGGGCUCUCCGAGAGUUUUUGGAUGCCCCAAUUAAAUCAUUUAGAUAGAGGAAGUUCUUCAAGGGAACUUCCAAGACUCGAUUAGAGGUUGUUAGAAAAUUCUACGCAUCAGAUUACAAUUAUGCCAAAUAAUACUAUGUGAUAAUGGACGAGAAAAGCGUCUACUUCAAUGUUGAAGCCAUGGGAAAAUUGUACGGUUUGCCUUUGGACGCUGAGACACCAAAGGAAGUCGUAAUUACUAGAACUUUAAAAAGGCAGACCAGGGAAGCAUUGGAAAUUAUCAUGUGGCUUGAGGUAGAAUGAGAUAUCACGCCAAAGGGAAAGUACCUACUAUUCCCACACUAGCUGACCAUUGAGGCAAGUAGGGCUCUUUUUUAUAAAAAAGAAGAUGAUGCCAACAUGCUACUACAACACCAUCCCAUUGCAAUACACGAUGAUGACUUAAUUCAUUAAGAAGAAGAUGGUAGUUAGCUUGGGUGCCAUAAUCAAAAACUCCAUCCUCUCUUGGAUGGAAGUACCUAAAAAGGCAUUGCCCUUCCCGUUUACCAGCGGUAUGGUGGGAUCAACUGGAGAUUAAUAGGCAAAUGUGUGGGAAGCAACCCAUCCGUUCUUGGAAGAAAAUGAAGAAACUAUUGAAGGCACGAUUUCUACCCCCAAAUUAUGAACAAACCUUAUACAAUCAGUACCAAAAUUGCCACCCAGGGUACUCGAAUAGUAGUUGACUAUAUUAAAGAGUAUCAUUACCUAAGUGCAAGAAUAAAUAUGAGUGAAAAUGAAUGGCACCAAAUUGCAAGAUUAGUGGGAGUCUUGCGAUUUGAUAUCAAGGAAUAGGUAAAGCUGCAACCAUUUUGUUUUGUAUCUGAAGCAAUUUCUUUUGCAGAAACAGCGGAUGAGAUGAUGACCGUUAGGACUAAAAACCUGAAUAGGAGAUCAACAUAGGAGGAAACCUCAACAAGAAAGAAAAAUUAUCUUAAUAAGGAAAAUGACCAACCAUCAACCUCAAGAAGAGGAAAAGGUAACGAAGUUGACAAUCAAGAGAUAGUUAAUGAGAAAAAGAAGGAGUCAGCGUAUAGGAACAACAGUUAGAAUAAUUACAUUCGACCAUCAUUCGGGAAGUUCUUUCGAUGUGGCCAAACUGGUCAUCUUUCCAAUACUUGCCCCCAACGAAAAAUCAUAGCGUUGGCUGAGGAAGAAGGAGGUUCGAUGAGUGAAAACAAUAAAAAAAGCAGAGGAAGAAGCUGAGCUUUUUUAGGCGGAUGAUGGAGAUAGAGUCUCUUGUGUCAUCCAAUGAGUACUCAUUGCUCAUAAAGAAGAGAAGAAUCCACAUCACCAUAGCCUCUUCAAGACAAAGUGUGCUAUAAAUGGAAGGGCAUGUGAUGUGAUUAUAGACAGCAACAGUAGUGAAAACAUUGUGGCAAAGAAGCUGAUGGCUAUGUUGAAUCUAAAGGCUAGAACCCAUCUAAAUCCUUACAAGAUGGGAUGGGUGAGGAAAGGAGGAGAGGUCGUGGUUAACGAAAUCUGUACAAUGUUAGUGGGAAAAAACUACUUAACGAAAGGGAACAAGACCUCCUAGGGCUGAUUACUGUUGAAAAGUCCAAGGAAGAACAAAAUGGGGUCGUGGAACCUAAAUUACAGGAGCUAUUUGAUGAGUUCCCUCAUUUGAAAAAAGAACCUGAGGGACUUCCACCCCUUCAAGAUGUACACCAUCAUAUAGACCUUGUUUCAGGAGCAUCAUUGUCAAACCUAGCUCAUUAUAGAAUGAGUCCCCAAGAGUACUAAAUUCUCCAUGAUCAUAUUAAAGAACUACUUAGAAAGGAACACAUCAAACUGAGUUUGAGUCCUUGUAUGGUACCUGCCCUUCUGACUCCAAAGAAAGAAGGUAGCUAAAGGAUGUGUGUAGACAAUAGAGCAAUAAACAAAAUCACGGUGAAGUAUCGUUUUCCCAUCCCACACAUUAGUGAUCUCUUAGACCAACUUGGCAAAGCCCUCAUUUUUUCAAAGAUUGAUCUAAAGAGUGGCUACCACCAAAUAGGGAUUAGGACCAGAGAUGAAUGGAAGAUAGCCUUUAAGACCAAUGAAGGCUUAUUUGAAUGGAUGGUCAUGCCCUUUGGGUGAUCUAAUGCUCCUAUUACUUUCAUGAGAUUGAUGAAUCAGGUACUUCACCUCUUCCUUAACAGAUUUAUACUUGUCUAUUUUGAUGAGAUACUUGUGUCUAGCCGAAUUGUGAUGAGCAUAACUACAUUUAAGAAAGUUGUUUCAAGUUUUAACAGAAAUAGAACUAUACAUCAAUCCUAAAAAGUGCAUACUUUUGAGGAAGAUUGCCUUUCUUGGCUUAUAAUCAAAGAAGUCAUCCAUACUUGGCCUAUACCAACCUUUAUUUAAGAGAUACAAGCCUUCCUUGGCUUGGCUUCCUUCUACAUAAAGUUUAUCAAGAACUUCAGCUCCUUGAUAACAACUCUCACUGAUUGUCUAAAGAGGGGAAACUUUAAGUAGACCCUAAUACAACAAGAGAGCUUUGAUGGCAUCAAGAAGAAGUUGGUUUCCAACUCUAUUCUUCAACUACCAAACUUCUCUUCACCAUUUGAAAUGGCAGUUGAUGCAUGUGGCACUGGAAUUGGGGUUGUCUUGUCUCAUCAAGGACACCCAAUUGAAUGCUUCAGUGAAAAACUAAGCUCCUCAAAACAGUCAUGGAGCACUUAUGAACAGGAGUUGUAUGCUCUCAUUCGAGCACUAAAUCAAUGGGAACACUACCUACUUUGUGAUGACUUUGUACUUCUAACAGAUCACUUUUCCCUAAAGUAUCUCCAAUCUAAAAAAAAUAUAUAAGCAGAAUGCAUGCACGCUUGAUUUCGUUCCUUCAAAGAUUUGCUUUUGUAAUAAAAAAAAAUUAAUCGGGCAAAGAGAACAAGGUAGUUUAUGCCCUAAGUAGGAAAGACUCCAUGCUUACACUUCUCUCCUUUAAAAUUGUGGCCUUUAAACACUUACCCAACCUAUAGGAGGAAGAUAUUGAUUUUGAGAACAUUUGGUACAAAUGCUCCAAUUACAUAGGUACUAUUGACUAUCAUAUUAUUGAAGGUUUCCUAUUUAUGGGAGAAUAGUUGUGCAUUCCUCAUACCUCAUUACGAGAAGCCUUGUUAAAAGAAGCACACUUCAAUGGUUUAGCUGGACAGAGAAUAGGACAUUUGAAAUUAUUUCUAAAAGAUACUACUGGCCCUAGCUAAGGAGAGAUUCAAAUAAUUUCGUGAAAACAUGUCCAAUUUGUCAAAAAACUAAAGGCUCAAGCACAAAUGCAGGGUUAUAUUCCCACUGCGUAUUUUUCAACUUCCAUUUAGGUAGAUUUGUCAAUUGACUUUGCGGUUCGAUUACCUAAAACACAAAGGCAUUACCAUUCAGUUACGGUGGUAGUAGAUAAAUUUAGCAAGAUGGCCUACUUUGUAGCUUGCAAGAAGACAAAUGAUGCAAUCUAUAUAGCCAACCACUUCUUUAGAGAGGUAGUACGACUACAUGGAGUACCUAAAACUAUUGUGUCUGACAUAGAUGUUAAGUUUCUAAGCCAUUUCUGGUGAAGCCUAUGAAAAAAGUUUAACACAACAUUAAAAUACAACACUACAGCCCAUCCAUAGAUAGAUGGACAAACUGAAGUAACCAAUAGAACCCUAGGAAAUUUAUUAUGUUGUCUUAGUGGGAGAAAACCUAAGCAGUAGGACGUAGCAGUUGCUCAAGCUGAGUUUGCUUUCAACAAUAUGAAGAAUCGUUCAACAGGGAAAUGCCUCUUUGAAGUAGUAUACAUUAAGCAACCACAGUUAACUUUCGACCUUACUUCACUUGCUACAACCAUGGACCUUAAUAAAGAGACAGAGAUGAUGCUAGAAAACAUUGAAAAAUUGCACAAUGAAGUUUAUGAUCAUAUUGUACAACCUUCAAACUCCUACGAAAAAUCAGCAGAUAAAAAGAGAAGACAAAUUGAUGUUUCUAAAGGAGAUUUGGUGAUGGUACACUUAAAAGAAGAAGAACUUUCCUAUUGGCACCUAUAACAAACUGAAAGAUAGACAGAUCGAUCCAUAUUCUAUAGUAGAGAAUUAUGGAGGUAAUGCCUUGAAAAUAGACUUGUCAUCGGACAUUCAUAUACAUCCAGUAUUCAAUGUUGUUGAUUUGAAGCCAUAAGAUGCACCAGACAACUUCACACUUGCUAAUUGAUGCACUCUGUGAUCAGUCUAUUCUUAAGGGGGUGGAAUGAUGUAAUAAGAAUAAGGGUAGAGAUAGCUAAAGUUAGUUAGAACGAUUAAGAUACAUAACUGUUUAAUAAACAAUUUUCUUGUAACUACUUUGUAACAAACUUACAAAGCAUUAAUAAAUACACCAUCUCUUAGUCUUAAGAGGCAGAGAAUUCAUUUGAGAAAUAUAUCCAACUUUGAAUUACAUCAAAGUGCUAUAAAAGCAGCCUCGAUUCUUAGGACGAAUGGCUGGCCGGAGAGUGAUAAACCCAGCUGCGGGGGACGACCAUGUACAAGAAGAAGCAGAGGAGAUCGCUGCCCUCUCUCUAAAGACAUUAACGGUUCGCUUGCUGGCCAUCAAAGGAUCCUUGGGGGAUCUUUAUAACACGUUUGAUUGAUUGAUGAAAAAUGUAGAUUUAUUGAACUGGAGAAUGGAAGAACUACUAGCGCCACCACAUAUUGAAGCAAGCCUUUUGAACGAUCACCAUUAUGGUGACAGAAGAGGCUGACGAUUAAAGGGAAACCUUAGGAUUUUCAACAAUCCACAAGGCUUACAUAGAAGGAGACUCGAUGACACCCUGUCGCAACAUUUUGAUGACGAUUUUGACGAAGACCAAGAAGCAUGGCAGGAACUUCAAGAAGAUGACUUCUUGAGUGGUGACGAGCAAGAAAAUAUUUGAAACUUUAAUGAAGAAAUGUGGGCAAGACGAAAUAAUAGAUGAUGUAAAGCCAAAAGAGAAGAAUACCAUGACUAUAAAAUGAAAAUCGAUCUCCCAAUGUACAAUGGUAAACGAAACAUAUAAUCAUUCUUGGAUUGGAUAAAGAACACCGAGAACUUUUUUAACUACAUGGACACGCUUGGACCUAAGAAAGUCUAUUUUGUAGCCUUAAAACUUCGAGCCGGUGCUUCAGCAUGAUGGGAUCAGUUGGAGAUUAAUAGGCAAAGGUGUGGUAAGCAAUUGAUUCGUUCUUGAGAGAAAAUGAAGAAUUUAUUGAAGGCACGAUUCCUAUCCCAAAAUUAUGAACAAACCUAUACAAUUAGUUCCAAAACUGCCGCAAGGGUACUCGAAUAGUAGCUGACUAUAUUGAAGAGUUUCAUCGCCUAAGUGUAAGAAUAAAUCUGAGUGAAAAUGAAUAGCACCAAAUUGGAAGAUUUGUGGGAGGCCUUCGGUCCGAUAUCAAGGAAAAGAUAAAGCUGCAACUAUUUGGUUUUCUAUCUGAAGUAGUUUCUUUUGCAUAAAUAGUGGAAGAGAUGAUAGUCAUUAGAUCUAGGAACCUCAAUUGGAGAUCAACAUGAGAGGCAACCUCAACAAGAAAGAACAAUUAUCCUUAUAAGGCAAAUGACCAACCCACAACCUCAACAAGAGGAAAAAGGAAGGAGGUUGACAAUCAGGAGAUAGUUAAUGAGAAGAAGAUGGAGUCAGUGUACACAAACAACAGUCAAGAUAAUUACACUCGACCGUCAUUGGGGAAGUGCUUUCGAUGUGGCCAAACUGGUCACCUUUCCAAAUCCCAUUGAAGGAAGCAAAUCUUUAGAAAAAAUCAUCAUGGAUAGAGAUGAAAGAAUGUCAUUCAAAUUAAAUCUUUUCAAUCUGGGGCAUUGAGGAUAGGAAUUUGAGACAAGAAAGUAAACUCAAUUGACUUAGUCUAGGAGAUGAAAAUACCAUAAUUUUUCACCGAAUCUUGGCAGCAAAUAAAAAGAAAAACUUGAUUGCUGAGUUAAUUGACGAUCACGAAUUACUGACAAUAUCAUUCAAGGAGAUUGAAGACCUUAUCUUGGAAUUCUAUAGAUCAUUAUACACUAAGACUCCAGGCUGUAAUGUAAUUACUAUCAAUUUACAACGAAAGUCAAUGAACCAUUGUCAAAAGAAGUUUUUAACAGCUCGCUUUAAGAUCGAGGAGAUUAAAAAUGUCCUAUGCUUAUUGGAAAAAAACAAGGCUCUAAAACGUAAUGGUUUCACGACUGAAUAUCUACUAAAAUUUUGGAAUUUUUUUCAAGGAAAAUUUUGAAAAUUUGUUCAAGGAAUUUUACUCGAACACGAAACUGAAUUUUUAUGUUAAAGAAAAUUUCAUAUGCCUAAUCCAGAAAAAAGAAGAUGCAGUAUGUGUUCGAGAUUUUAGACUGAGUUACCAGAUGAGGCUAGUGAGUAUGGAGAUGAAAAUGAUUAUUCGAGGCUUUAUUUCAAAAUACUUAGAUUUCUUUUGAUAAAUAUUUGUUUUUCCUUUUAGUACUUAAAAAUUAAAUUGAGCUUAUAAACACUUAUUCCACCACUAAAAUAUCUCUUGCUUUAAUGUCUAUUUUUAACAAUGUGACAAAAAACUGUUGGAUCGGUAUGGCAACCCUAGAGGGGGUGAAUAGGGUUUAAAUAAACUUUUUGACAAAUAAAAAGUAAAAUCAACUAAUUAGAUACUUUUUAAAUUUAAAUAAAGAACUUUGUAAACUUUGUUAAAUAACAAGAUUGAUAAAAAUAUAUGAAUGGAAGUAUGCAAUCAAACUCAACCAAUAAGAGUAUGUAACUAAAAUUAAAUUAAAAAAUAAUUAGAAAAGAGUUAGAGAAGAAGACACCGUAAUUUUAUAGUGGUUCGGUUAAACUCAACCUACAUCCACUUUCCCAAGCACCUCUUGGGAUUUUGAUUGAAAAUCUUCUUUGGACUCUUUCCACGGAUUUGAGCCGAACCGAUUCUUGCUCCUUUUUCGGGUUCAAGAGCAAACCCGAUCCUUUCCACGGGUUAGGAUCCAACCGUUACAAUAUGUUGAAGUUUUUAAAUCACGCAAAAGAAAACUCUCUAAAAGAGUGAGUAUACAAUUUGAAGCUCACAAAUUUAAUCCUCACAAUACAAUAAGAUGAAAAGAAUAAAAAUUGGAAGCUUUAGAGAGAAUAACAAUGUUGGCUUUUUGCUUGAGGAUUGUUAAGAUUUUGUUUGAUCUUGUGUAAAUGUGAAGCAUUUAAAAAGAGAUGAAAGAUAAAUUCAAAAUCAUUUGGGUCAUUAGAUAUAAGUAAAAGAAAAAUGAAUGGUUGAGAUUUAAACUUAAUUAGCCGUUAGACACAAUACAAAUAAUAAUAUAAUAAUAUGUCUUUUCAAAAUACUUUGUUUAAAAUGAAAUCAAUAAAGCAACUUCACCAUCUUUUAAACAACUAGCCGUUAGACACAAGGAAAAUAAUAUUAUUAAAAUCAUUUUCUUUUUAAAUUCAUUUUCUUUAUAAAAGCCAAUAAAACAUAACAAAAAGCCACAUUUGUUACUCCUUCAUUGCUCCAAGUGGCUUUCUCUAAUUGGUUCAAAUUGAAUGCUUGGUCGCCACGUCACCAUCUCGGGUAUUUUUCCGUUAACCUUCUUUUAGCAAUAUUUUCUUCAUUUGAACUUCGAUUUGGAUGAUUCAAGAGGCGUUAGAAUCAUUUUUCCAAGCUCUACGAUAUGGUCUAUUCAAAUUAAUAAAAUUGUCAAUAAAAAAAAUCAGAUUUGUUAUCAUCAAAACAUAAAUUAAUUGAAUAAUUAAAAUAAAUUAAUUUGAGAUUAAGGGCCAAAAAGCCAACAAAAACUAUGUCAAAUUCUAAAAAUUAUAAAAUAAAAUAGUUUUAUGUUUGAGCUAAAAUUCAACUUUUGUACUUAAAGAAUGAAAAACAUGGUAAAAAACUUAGAUUAAAUAUAUCCCCAACUUUCAUGAAGCGGGGAUAGCUUAGUUGGGAGAGCGUCAGACUGAAGAUCUGAAGGUCACGUGUUCGAUCCACGUUCACCGCAUAUAUUGAAAAAAUUUAUGUUUGAUUCUAUUUUUAGAAAUUGGUUAAACCAAUUUCAAAGUGGACUCCCCAUUCAUGGUGAGAUUAAUAAGAUCGUUUAGAUUUCAUGUUUGUUUUUUUGCCUUAUGGUAGAUGUCAGAUGUUAAUCACUUGAAAGGAAAAGUAAAGCAUAAAGAUAAGGCAGAUGUCAGAUGUUAAUCACUUGAAAGGAAAAGUAAAGCAUAAAGAUCGAUCGAUAUCUAGAAUGUAACAAAUUAAGAUAUCCCAACGUCUAGAAACAAAACAUAAGAUGAUUCAUCUUUCCUGUUCUAUCCUAAACGAGGUGUUUUUUUCUUCUACGUGAGGUUUUUUUUUUUUCUAAAUGGGGUUUUUUUUUUUACUAAAUUGUAUACCAAAGGAUUAGAUUUUCCUUUUUGGAGCACUUAAAAAAACCUCCUACACAUAUACCUUUCUCAUGCCAUGUGAUCGACUUUAAUUAGUUGGAAUUUAUUUACCUCUAGAAAUUGCUAUAGCUAAUGUAAGGCCCUAAUCACAUACUCCAAUCUGAUGAAGGCCCUAUGAUGAAGAUUGAUGUGCACAGAUACUUGAGGAAGAACUACUGGUAAACACUACAACAAAACGGUCUACGACGACAGUUAUUUUAUGUCGCAAAUAAAAUUUGUGACAUUUAUUUACAGUCAUAGUAACGCGUAUCAUGGAAAGUUCUUCCAUGACAGAUUUUGAAAACUGUUGCAAUAAGUUUUUCAAUGACAGAAAAUAAAUGUCGUUAAUUAUUAUUUUAUGACAACAAAUAAUUGUCAUGUUUUAUAUUAUGACACUAAAUAGCUGUCAUCAUUUGUGUAUUAACGACACUAAAAAAUGUCGCAAAUUCGUUUAUUAUGACAUUUUUUAAAUGUCAAGGAUAUGUCAAUCGUGACAGUUUUUCUAAAAAUAAAUGUCAACUUUUUGAAAUUGACGACAAUUUAAAAUGUCACGAAUUCGUAUUUUAUGACAAUUUUUCAUGUCAAAUAUAUGUCAAUCGUGACAGUUUUUUUAGAAAAUUAAAUGUUAUUGUUUUGCUAUUGACGACAUUUUUUUCUUGUCAAAUAUAGGGCAAUCGUGACAGUUUUUUUAUAACAAAAAUAUCAUUGUUUUAAUAUUGACAACAAUUAUGGAGUGUAACGAAUUCAUGUAUUAUGACAUUUAUUUCAUGUUGCAAAUUCCUCAAUUACUACCGUUUUUCUCUAUUCUCCUUGUCGCUCUGCCAUUACACGAACCAUUUGAAUGACAAUAAUGUUAUAAUACGUAACACUCAUAUAGAAACAAAUGGUCGACAAUUUAAUAUAAAUAUGCUAUAAAUCACUUUGUAAUAUUCGUACAUUUCCAAUCAAGUUUGAACAAUUUAUAAGUGUGGAAUUACAACCCUUAAUGAAACCAGUGUAAAUACCAUUAUAAUACAUAUAACAUGAUUUUUUGUACAAGCAUAAACAACCAACCGGUAAUCCUUCACCUUUGAAAAUAUUCUUUGUUGCUUGAACCAUGGUCAAAUCCAACAUUUCUAAAAACAGCCAGUGUAUUUGAGUGACUCUGAUUAGCUUCUUUGAAGGAAAUUUCAUGAACUUUGUAGGCUCCAAUAAAACCUACAAAAACAACAUGAAUAUAAACAUACAUCACAGGACAAAAGAGUACAAUAUGAAUAUAGCAGACAUUUCCAGAAAAUUUAAGAAAGUAAGCUAAAAGGAUAGUGUCCAAUGGUUGAUGGAUAUAAUGGAAAGAAGUAAAAGAACUGAAAUACGAAUUCGUUAUAGAUUAGCUAUAAAGUAUAAUGUGGACAAAGCGGGUUCCAUAUUAGAUCCUCCAUCCUUUAGAAAGCUAGGUUCCCCCAGUACAUCUGUUUGCAUCACUCUACAUUCUUAAUAAACUGUGAAGAACUACCAAAAUCAAGCUGAAACACUUCAUCUGAAUUUUGUCAUCACUCUUCAUCAACUACUCUCAGAAUAUAAUGAUUUUAUCAUACAUGGAUCAUGACAAAUGGGCAAUGCAAUGAUACUGCCAUAAUAAAAACAUAAAAUAUUACUAUAGCACAAGUAGAACAUCAAUAGUGACACGUUAUGUCAAUUAUCAACUGAUAACUUUGCAAAGAAUCAGAAUAUACCCAUGCGUAUAUAUGUUGCAUCAUUAAUUUUAUAAAUGGAUGAUCCAGCAUGAGAACCAUGGAAUUGGAAACAAAGAAAUAGAUAUCAGAAGGAAGUAAAUACUAUGUUUGUGCAUACGAAAAAACAUAAUACAAUGUGCUUACCGAUAUUCCAUCUUCAUCUCAAUAAGACAUUCAAUUACCUUGUCAUUCCCAGCAAGAACAAGAUGUCGUGGCCACAUUAAGUGUGAACCCACUUCCUACGUCAUUUUCAUGAGCCCUUCCUUCGUUGGGAUGGAAAUUGCACAUUCAUCAUCUAAGACAACAUCUACUGAUACCUUUAUGUUGUCACCGUCACCUUCUGCAUCAAAUAUUAUCUCGUGGGCAAUGAUAUUAUCUUGUGUUUCAAACGCCAGCGUACACGAGGUCCCAACCUACGUAGAAGUAUAUGUUAAAUAUGUGUAUGUACACUUAGUAAAAAACUGUCCACUUAUUAAAGUAUUUGUGAAACUAACCUUCAUUUCACAUUUGAUCUCGUAUCUUCCACAUUCUCUUCUUUCUUCACUUCGGCCAUGUCAUCUGCCGCUUUCUCUAGUUCUAGAUUAAAGGCUACGUAUUCAACCUCAUCAUAUGAAUCCCUUUUGAUUGAUGGUGCUCCUUUUGAACACAUAUUCGGUUGUUCUUCUUUGUCUCCUUUGCCACCCUCAUUUUUUUUUCCUUCUUUCUAGCUUCACUUCAACUCCUUAAUUCUAUUUUGCAUUUCAUCUUGUUUUCAUACACUAUCUUUUUCUUUGUGACGUACUUCCCCACGCCUCAGACUAUGCCUGAACGAUCUUCCCACCCAAUGCUUGGGUUAGUACAUCGUCACCGCCUGGUUACGUGCCUUCGGGUCGCCUAAUAGAUCGUCCUAACAUAGUAGAAAAAAUGGAAAUUAUAAGUUGCGAAACCAUUCAACUAAAAAAAUGAAUAAAAUUUUGUCAACGCAUUAACUUACUAUAACAUUGACAACAUCCUUCGUCUCUUUAUAUAGGAAUUCUCUCUUACGAUCCAAGCAUGCAUGUUUCCAUACUAUCGAUCGAUCUAUUUGAUUUGUCAAAGAAGACGCACGCUAUAUAAAGAAUAUAUGUUAUAUAAGUAUAAAUAUAUAACAUAUAUGUAGAUUCAAUAAAUAGCAUUGUUCAAAUAGAGCAUAUAUAAAUGUUAAAUCAACGAUUUUUUUCCUUCAUACCACUUAGCAAGUGGUAUGUGACUCCUCUUUACUUUCCCUUCCCCUCCCUUCAAUAAUAUACAUCUUUAUAAUUUAUGUUAAAGAGGUGGACAACCUAGUUGAAUGGUAAGAACUGGGAAAUAAUAAUGUUAAAGCUUUUUUAAGAUAAAAACAUUUUUAAAGCUUUUUCUAAGAUAAGAACAAUGGACAACCUAGUUGAAGUUUCAUGAAUUAAUGUAUGAUUAAAAUUAUAAGAAAAGAAGAUAAGAACAAUGAAGCUAUUCUAAUAUUUACAAGCAGUCCAGCCCUAAAUGCAUAUCUUCUAAGCAUACAAAAUAAGUAAAUGUAAAAAUUGAUUUAAUGGAAAACAUCCACAUAUUGCUAAAAUUGUACUACCAACUCCAAAUACAGACAAAAUCAUGUGCAAUUAGGGAUAAUAGAUGGCUUCUAAUCAAAUAUAACAAAGAUCAUGACUUACCAACUCCUCAACGAGAUUUGCAUACCCCUUGCAAGAUGUUCUAUGGUUGUAUUUCUAUAGCUUCCUUUUUCAGAUAUCCUUCUUUACUUUUUUUCUGUAGAAAAAAUUGUAUCAACUCAAUUCAAUUAACAUAUUUAGGUAACAAAGUGUAUAUAAAGUAUAACAAAUUGUUUGAAUCUUCAUACUUACUUCAAAAUCUUUCUUCAAGCAUGAAGCCACAAAUUCAACCGAAUGGUCUUGUUCGAUGAAUGAAUACUCAACUGGUGGAUGUUUUAAUUUCUCCACAUCGUCCUUAAAUAGCAGUACGUAUGUAGUUGUCAAUUAAUCUGGACUUAAAUCCACGAAGCAUACUCCUGCAUUUUGAAUUAUACUUUUCUUCGACUUUGGGUCAAGAAUGAAGCCGGCCUAUGAUGUGAAAAACACAUCAAAAGUAUUAAAAUUGUUCUAGUGGAGGGUUUAUUAUACUUAAAAUCACUUACUAGGAUUUUUACAUCAAUUAGUUCAAAGAUCUUAUCCUUCGUCUCUUUGGGAACGACAUGCCAACAAAGUAUGUGAUUGGAACGUGAAACCUUACGAUCGUUCCAAUAACAAUUCGUUGUAUUGAACCACCAUUCUAUGCCCCUCACUACUAAAACGUGUUAUCUUCCUCACUCCCGUAGAGCUACAUUUUCUUUUCUGGCUACUGCUUUCCCCUCUUCCAUGGGGUGUAGCAAGCUGAUCAUCAUCUGAAUGAACCAUUACUGCAAACAUAAAUGUAAUUUCAAACAUAACCCAAGAGACUUUUAGUAACAAUACUCAUGUAAUUGUAAAUAUGAAUUGUGAAAUAACUCAAAAGUCAUAACAUAACCGAAAAGUCUACUAUUAUAACCGAAACAUGACUUUCAUAGUUAAAUGUAAAUCACCAGUUGGUUCUCAAAUAAAUUAUGAAACGAUUCAUGCACAAUUACUUACGUAAAGGUCAUAAUAACUAUGGUAGAACACAUAACACUUUCAAAUUAUAAUAUUUAAUACAUAAAAUUCUUCGAAAUUUGAAAACAAAUAAACUAUUGAACAUGAAAUGACAACUUAAUAACAGUAGAUUCUGAAGUAGUCAUAUUUAAAAAUGGAAUUGUCCUACAAAGGAGAAAAAAAUGACAAUCAUUAACAGUAUGUAAUGAACAUUAAACACAACCAAAUAACGAAGCGUGCUCAUCUUAAUAUACAUACUUCUCCAAGUCAAUUAGUAACCCAUGUGCCUUCACAAUCAGGUCUAGCAUAUGUUUCCCUACCUUCAUCAAUAUCACAUGUUGUUGUCCAUUUUGAGAGUGGGAGAUAGUGCGGUAACAUGUCUCCUAUGUCAUCAUCAACACAUUUGUAAGGAAAAUCCUUCUCUGGUGGCAACACAAAAACGAAUCAUCUUGCAUCAACAGGAUCUGUGAAAUAGAAUACUUGUCUCUCGUGUGUGGCAAUAAUGAACGAAUCUGAAGAGUGUCAAAUUUGGUUAAGGUCCAGCAUUGUGUAAUUAACAUCGUCCAUUUGAACACUAGCAUUAUUUUCAACCUUAAACGUAUUGUAGUUGACUUCCAGAAUCUCUUGAAUCCUUCCAUAGAAAGACAUGUCACAAACGAUCAAUUUUUUUCCCUUCACACUAGACACUUGCAUUAUUGUUGCAACUAACAUAAUCCCACUAUUUUGAACAGUUCGAUGGUCAUCAUGAGACUUCAUGUGGUAAGAAGAUCCAUUAAUCAUAUUCCCCUCAUACGUCAUUAAAUUAGGGUGGGGUCCAUGUGCAAGCCAACAUAUGGUAUUCGAGACAACCUUUCCUUCCUGUAAUUCACUCAUCACUUAUUGAAGAGAAUAGUCAGUUGUUUUAACUAUUAAACAAUUAGACGAAAUGAAAAUGUAAUUUGAUUGUUUAAGUACUUGAUCAUGUAACCAUGCACCAAAUGAUCGAUUAUGUUCAACUUGUAGCCAUUGUUCAUUUUUUGCUCUUCUUCGAUUUUCCAUCUUUAAUUGGUUCAAAUGUUGUCUACAAAAUGUUUCAUACAUUAAAAUGGUUACUUGAGGGUAAUUAAUAGCAGUAUAUAAUCAUAUGAAUGAUUACUCUAUGUAUGGGUGCACUUCUUCAGUGUUCUAUAAAACAUGAAGAUGUACUUGCUUCAAUUGUUGCACAUCAGGUCGAACGUAUGUUCCUGCUGACAAUGGUUUAUCGCUUUUUCUGUCCUCCCUUGAAUCGAGUGACCCAAGUCCAAUAGGAUCUAAUCCAGAAAGAAAAUCUGAACAAAAUUCAACAACCUCCUUACAUAUUUGUGCUUCUGCAAUGCAGUCUUCUAGGCGAGUUCUAUUACAAACAUAACUUUUCAAUACUUUCAUGCAUCGUUCAAAUGGUUACAUCCACCACAAAUAUACAGAUCCACAAUGCUUUACUUCUCUCACGAGAUGAACGACAAGGUGAACCAUAAUUGUAAAAAAUGUGGGUGGAAAAUACUUCUCAAGAUUGCAUAAAGUCAUAACUAUAUCUUCUUGCAAUGCAUCAAGAUCUUAGACGAAAAAACUUUUAGCGCAUGUCGCAUUGAAGAAAAAGCAAAGUCUCCUGAUAGUGUACCUCACAUUAUUUGGUAGGACUGAGCAUAUUGCAAGUGGAAGAAGUUGUUGCAUUAAAACAUGAUAGUCAUGCGACUUAAGAUCGAUUAGUUUUAAGUCAUCCAAAAAGACAUGAGUUCUAAUAUUUGAUGAAUAACCUUUUCGAACUUUAAUUUCAGAUAAAGUCUUACAAAACCGAUACUUCUCUUCUCUUGACAAUGUAUAACAUUCCACAGGUAUAUGGUACUAAUUAUGGUCAAAUUUUCAUUACAAAUAAAUCAAGUCUAGUAUUAAUCUUAUCUUUACUUUUUUCUGAUAUAUCAAGCAAGGUGCCCACUAUGUUCAUGCAUACAUUUUUUUCAAUAUGCAUUACAUCUAAACAGUGUCGUACAUGCAAGUGUUUCCAAUAUGGUAGUUGAAAAAAUUAUGGUCUUCUUUUCCAAUAGUCAUUGCCACCUUCAUGUUGAAAUGUCUACCCACACUUCUUCCCACAUGAAAAUAUCAUGUCUUUCAGCUUGAAGUAAAUGGCCUCCCGCAACAAGGGUUGUGGAGGACUUCCAUGCUCUUGCUUACCAUUAAAAAUUUUCUUUUGUAUUCUGUAUAGAUGAUGUCUUGGCAAAUAUUUCAUUUGUCCCGUGUAUGACUUUUUAUAUGUUGCAGUCUUAUUGAAGUAGUCUUCUCUCCAAAUAUUGGACAAGCCUUAUAUCCUUUGACACUAAAACCGCAUAGAUUAUCGUAUGCUGGAAAAUCGUUGAUGGUCUACAAUAAGACAGCCUCCAAUGUGAAAUAUUUUUUUUAUAUGCAUUGAAACAACGAACUCCAUCUUCCCACAACAUCUGUAGGUCAUCAAUUAAUGGUGCUAAGUAUGUAUUAAUAUCGUAUCCUGAUUGCUUUGAACCUGAUAUUAUCAUUGUCAACAUCAAAUAUUUUCUUCUCACACACAACUAUGAUGGAAGGUUGUAUAUUGUAGUAAUAACAAGCCACCAACUGUAGGUCGUCGACAGAUCUCUAAAUGUGUUAAUUCCAUCAGUGGACAAACCCAAAUGGAGAUUUCUUGGUUCUGACCCAAAGGUUGGCCACAUGUGGUCAAUCAACCUCCAUGAUGGAGUAUUAGCCAGGUGUCUCAAAAUACCAUCAACUUUCCUAUUCAUCGCAUGCCAAUGCAAGUUCUUAGCAUUUUCAAAUCUCAUGAACAUUCUUAUAAAUCUUGGAACUAUUGGAAAAUACCACAUUUUCUUGGUAGCCACACCACUUUUUUCCUGUUUUGAGUUCUUAGCGAUCUUCCACCUUGACAAACCACACUUAGGCACUUGGUCAUGUUUUCAUAUUCUUUUCUCUACAAACAACAAUCAUUAGGACAUGCAUCAAUUUUUUGGUAACUUAGUCCUAAGGCACCUAGUAUUUUCUUCGUGUCGUAUAAGGAACAUGAAAUUUCGUUGUUCUCAGGUAAUAAAUCACUUAUUAUGCAAUAACUUAGAGAAGCUAGUGUUACUCCAACCAUACCUAACCUUCAGUUUAUAUAAUCUCACGAGGACUGACAACUUUGUGAAUUUGUUACAUCCUAGAUAUAAGGGUUUCUUUGCGUCAUUGAACAUAGUUGGAUGCAUUACAAGAUUGUUCUUGAAUGAAUUCAACCAUAUUAACUGUAUUAAAUAAAUCUUCGUUUUCAUCCAUUGUAUUUUCCAUUAUGCUGGUACCGUUAUCUGAGUUCAAAUCUAAACCAUGCCAGAACCAUAUUAACUGUAUUAAAUAAAUAUUAUUAUUAUUAUUAUUAUUAUUAUUAUUAUUAUUGUUGUUGUUGUUGUUGUUAUUAUUGUUAUUAUUGUUAUUAUUGUUAUUAUUGUUAUUAUUGUUAUUAUCGUUAUUAUCGUUAUUAUCGUUAUUAUCGUUAUUAUCGUUAUUAUCGUUAUUAUCGUUAUUAUUAUUAUUGUUAUUAUUGUGCAAAGUGAUUUGACUAUAUCUUUUUGUCAUAAAUUUGAGGAUAGCAUAAACAUUUCUUCUCAAAUAUCAGUACUAUCCAAGUGUCAGCUCUCUUUUACACAAAAUGAUUUAGCAAAACUAAAAAUGAUUUGCGAGGCAUAGACACCUCAACGGAGAUUCAUGUUUUCAAAGAAGUAUGGACAUAUAGCAGAGUUGAUGUACAUACCGGUGAAUCAUUUUGCGUUAAGAGCCAUAACUAAUUUUUAGGAUCCAACAUAUAAUUGUUUCACAUUUGGGUCGUGUGAUUUACUGUCAACCAUAGAAUAAUAUCAACCUAUGCUUAGCAUGCUUGAAAGGGAAAGGGAAAUUUUUUAUUUCUUUAACCCUAAGCAAACGACAAAAAAAACUUUGUCAAAAAAUUUAGAAAUCGUUCAUGCCACAGAAAUUCAAAAACAUAUAAAAGUUAAGGGUGUGGAAGAGAAUGUGUCAUUUGACUAUCUAAUAAAGAUGACACAAACUUACAUUGAUGAAGACAAAGGUCUUACUCUCUUGGCAUUAUGCAUUUAUGGAGCGGUGAUUUUUCCUUAAGCAAAAGGUUAUGUCGAUGGGAAAUUGAUCAGAUUAUUUUUUGAAAUAGAACGAGGAGUUGAUCCUAUAAUACCUAUAUUGGCUGAAACUUUUCGAUCACUUAACUUUUGUAGAAAUAAAGGGGCAGGAAAAUUGAAUUGUUGUGUUCGUUUAUUAUAUAUUUGGAUACACAACCAUAUCAAAUUUAUGCAGAGUUUAGGUGUCCAAGGUUAGAAUUAGUAGCCCAUGGAACUUAAUAUGAAACAUGGUUAGUGAGUUUGGUAUGGCAGUUUGGGACCCAACAUAUCCAAAGAAGGAGACUUGAGUGUCUUUCUUUUCAACAUUGAGUUCUGAAAAUGUCAUAUGGAAGGCUCAAUUGAUGCCUUUGAAGGCAGUGAUUUACAGAUGUGGAGAUUUUCAUAGUGUGCCUUUGUUGGGACCAUGAGGAGGUGUUAACUAUACACCAUUGUUAGUUUUGCGUCAGGUGUGGCUCAAAUAGUUUAUACUACCAACUCAUAAUCUAUGAGAAUCUGACUUUUCAUAUGAUCUUGAAGACUGUCAAGAGAAAAAACAUCGAGCAGUAUGUGCGUGGAAGUCUGUAAGGAAGAUAAAAGACAAAGGACACUAUGAAAGGGUUAUUAGUGGAUAUGAGGCAUGGCAGACAAACAGAAGGAAGAAUAUAAUAUAUACCUUAAGGGAGGUAGUUGAAAGAGUAGAAGAGACGAGCUCUGAACGACCAGACUAGUGGGUUGAGAAGACCAUUAAAUUAGAAGAGAAAAAUCGACUAUUAGAACAAGAGAAUGAGAAACUUCAAAAGGAGACGAGCCAAUGGAUGGAUCAUAUGACUUUUUUGCAGAAAGAGCUUGAAAAGACCAAGAGUUUCUUAAAAAAUUAAGAUAAGUUAGAAAAGAAUCUUGAGGUGUUAGAUAAAGAGAUGAGGCGAAUGAAUAAAGCGAAUAGAAGCUUGAAAAAUGAAAAGACAAUAUUACAGGCAAUAGUAGAAUCGCAAGAUGAAUAUAUUAAAGAUUUAGAAAAUGGAAAGGAAUAUUCUCUCGAGCUUGUCAAUGAUUUGAAUACAUCAAUUCGUAAACGGAAAGCACAAAUAGUAGAUUUGGAAGUACACAAUCAUUCUCUACGCCAAAUUGUUGAUAGCCUACAUGUGAAGAUGGUCGAGCACUCUGAAGAGUAUAAGAUACUGAAAAAUUAUGUUGAUUCCUUACACUAUCAACUUACUGCAUUUCAAAAUUCAAGUGAGAGGAUAGUGCAAGAAUACGAAUUAUUGAAGACAGAUUACAUGCAAAUGAAGGUUGAUUAUGAUUUGCAAAGGAGAGAUUUUCAAGUGUUAGUUGAACGUGUAGAUCAAACAAUUGGAUUUCUCAUAAUAGUGUCUAGAAGAGCAAAUGGUUUUGCCGAAUGGUUAGUAGUUGAUUUAAGGAUUAAUUUUUUCUCAAUACAACCUCAUGCAAAUGAUCUGAGUAGAUUCUUAAAGAUGAUAUGCAGAGAACUUGGACAUCUUGGUCGUUUUCAUUAAGCUGUUUAUUUUGCUAUUACGAGCAAUGAGAGUUAUUGUUAUUGCAUUUUGUUGUAUUAAUUUUAUUUUAGUUUGAUUUUUAUUCUGUCAAGUUUAUAUUUCAUGUGGAUUUAUUGUAUUUGAAUUUAUUAUUUAAUAAAAAAAAUCUUUUUUUUCUCUACUCUUUGGUCUUCAAAAGUUUUCAAAAUAAUCAAAGGAAAACAUUAGCUCACCCUACUCCAAUUCGCCAUCCUUACAAUACGAGGCAUAAAAUUCAAAUCAUGGAAGAACAAAAUAAAGACAUGGAUAAAAUGAGAUAAGAUAUUAAUAAUCUUGGGGAACAAGUUUCAAAAAUAUUAGAAUUGCUUUCAACAGGAAAAGGAAAAAUCGUUGUAGAAACAACACAAUCAAGCAAUCCAGUUCAAGACACCAAUGAUCCCAUUUAUCUCCCAGGAUUUACGCAACGCCACAUGAAUGUUCCACAGUCUCAAACCACUCAACAUUAUGUUGCUAUGAAGUCGUUAUUUGAUGUUCCACCUCCUGUCCUGGAUAUAGAACAAUUGGAAGCUGAAGCUAAAAUUCAAGACAUGGGAAUAAAUGAGAACACUGCAGCUAAGCAAAAGCUAGAUGUUUUGGAAGAAAUAUUGCGAGCAAUUGAAAGGACUGACGUUUAUGAAAAUAUAAUGCAACACAGUUGUGCUUAGUGUUAGGCUUGAUCAUUCCAGCAAAGUUUAAAGUUCCUGAAUUUGACAAAUAUGAUGGAUCAUCGAGUCCAACGAGUCAUCUUAUAAUGUAAUGUAGAAAAAUGGCAGCGCAUAUUGGUAAUGAUAAAUUGUUGAUCCAUUGCUUUCAGGAUAGUUUGACUAGUCCAGCUACUCGAUGGUAUAUUCAAUUAGAUAAUGCAAACAUUCAUGUUUGGAAGGAUUUAGCUGAUGCAUUUCUAAAACAAUACAAACAUAAUAUUGAUAAGACUCCAGAUCAUUUAGACCUGCAACGGAUGGAGAAGAAGAGUUAAAAAGCUUUAAAGAAAUAUGCUCAACGAUGGAGAGAUAUGGUCCCAGAGGUUCAGCCGUCAUUAACAGACAAAGAGAUGACAUCUAUGUUUAUGAAUACUUUGCGGACGCCGUUUUAUGAUCGAAUGAUUGGUAAUGCUACAACCAAUUUUACUAACAUUAUUGUUAUUGGUGAAAGAAUUGAAUAUGGGAUAAAGCACGGGAGGUUAACAGAGACUUCAGCUGAGUGUGGUGGAUUAAAGAAAGGAACAACAUCUAAGCAGAAGGAAAGUGAGGUUCAUGCAAUUGGUUUUUCUAAUUCAGGGAACCACAAAUCAACUUUUGGCCAAAGAAAACAUGAUUAAAAUUUUCCUUCAUAUAUAAGCAAUGUUACUCAUAUCCUUAUAGCAAUUAUGUACCAGCUCACUCACUCUCUGGAGCCCCAAAACCUGUUAAUUCAAACUCUUCUCAACCUUUUGUACAAGGUCAGGGUAGCAAGACCAACUAAGAUACAUGGCGAUUUGAUCCAAUUCCCAUGACAUAUACAGAACUUUUACCUCAGCUAAUUCAGAAUCGACAGUUAGCUUCUAUCCCAAUAAAUCAUGUACAACCUUCUUAUCCAAAAUGGUAUGACUCAAAUGCUCUAUGUGAUUAUCAUGUCAGAGGAGUGACACUCAACUAAAAAUUGUUUAGCUUUGAAAAGGAAGGUGCAAUCUUUAAUUAAUGUUGGAUGGUUAAGCUUCAAAAAAUCUGGUGAGAAGCCGGAUGUCAACAACAAUCCACUUCAUAAUCAUGAAAAAUUCAAAAGUGAACGUUGUAGAUUGCUUUGUUGAAAAGUGUAAAAAUGAAGCUCAUGAGAUGGUGAUGCCUAUGGAAACACUUUUUAAAUGUAUUUUCGAAGCAGGAUAUGUUAGUUUGGAAUAUUUGGACCCCAACAUAAGAUACGAAAGCAGACAUUGUAUAUUCCAUCAAGGAGUUGCAGGCCGCGUUAUCCAACAGUGUUAUAAAUUUAGAUCUAAAGUACAACAAUUUAUGGAUUCAAAGAUACUCACGGUAUACAGAGGACAAGGAAAAGAUGAGAUGAAAGACAAUAAAAUAUGUGCAUUAAUGGAUGAAGUUGAAAAAAAGGAAAAUUCCUUUUUACCAAGGCCUUUGACAGUCUUUUAUCAAGAAAGUCGUAAUAAGUCAACUUCCUGCAAUCCUAAACAACUCACUAUCCAAGUACCGCGUCCUUUCAAAUUUAAGGAUUUGAAAGCAGUGUAAGGUAUGAUUGCCAAGUCAUUACAGGUCCUUCAGUGGAUAAUAUAACAGGAAUCGGCGGGAUAACUCGAAAUGGAAGAUGAUAUAAACCAGAUAAUUUAACAACUCCUUCAGGUAGUUUGACAUUGGGGCAAGGGAGGAAAAAUGAGAAAAGAAAUGUGAAUGAACAUGACAAAGAGCAGGAUGUAGAGAUGUCUAUCAUAGAAAAAAAUAUAGAAUGCAAAAAACCUGUUGCAGAUGAGGAAGUAAACAAAUUCUUAAAAAUACUAAAACAAUGUGAGUAUAAGAUCAUAGAGCAAAUGCAUCAUAUUCCAGCUCGAAUUUCUUUAUUAUCUUUGUUUUUUAAUUCAGAGCCUCAUCGCAAAGUGUUAUUAGAUAUUUUGAACAAGGCACAUGUUGGACAUGACAUUUCAGUGGAAAAGUUCAGCAGAAUUAUUGGAAACAUUAUGUCUUCAAAAUUCCACGUAUAGUCUUCACGGAUGAUGAAAUUCCUUCUGAAGGUUUAGGGCAUAUAAAAACACUACAUAUUCAAGUAAAGUGCAAGGACUAUGUCAUAUCGAGAGUUUUAGUGGAUAACGGCUCCGCUCUUAAUAUAAUGCCUAAAUCUACACUAUUGAAGCUUCCAGUGGACAUGUCAUACAUAAAAAGCAUGCACUAUGGUUGUGAGAGCUUUUGAUGGGUCACGAAGAGAAGUAAUUGGUAACAUUGAAUUACCAAUCAAAAUUGGCCCAUGUACUUUCAAUAUAGUCUUUCAAGUCAUGGAAAUAACACCUACUUACACUUUUUUAUUAGGACUUCAUUGGAUUCACUCUGCAGGAGUGGGGCCAUCCACGUUGCAUCAAAAAUUGAAAUUUAUUACUGGGAGUAAGAUGAUUUGUUUGAUGGGAGAGGAAGAUUUCCUUAUAACAAAACUGAUAUCAACCCCAUAUGUUGAGGCAGAUGAAGUAAUAAAGUCACAUAGGCCUAAAAUGGAAGUUAUGACCACUAGGUUGAUGAGAGGUGGAGGAUAUUCUUUGAAUCAAAGCUUAGAAACACUAACACACCAAAUAAUGAUGAAAAUUUUGGUUUGGGCUAUAUGUCAUUCGUAUAUGAUAAGAUUAGGCUUCAAGAAGAAAAGAAGAAAAACGUUUGGCAAAGCAAGAGAUGAGGGAGCUUGAUCCAAGUCUAAAAUUUAUACCAACAUUAUAUGAUACUUUCAAGAGUGCUGGUAUAAGUUACUUAUCACAUGACUCUGAUUCAAAUGAUUGUUUGUUAACGAAGAUGGAGAGUAUAUUAAUUGCAGCAGUGGCACAAGAAGCAUCAUUUGAAGGCGAAACAGUUUAUGCAUGUCCAUCUGAUUUCGAGCUUAACAAUUAGGAUGUUUUAGAUCUACCUACAUUCUCAAAAGAUUUUCAAGAGUAAUGAUUAAACUUUUAUUUGUCAAAUUUCUUUAAUUUUCUAGUGGCUCUACCCAAGGCCACAAUAUUUUGUUUGCUUUACAACAUGAAUGUUUUUUUUUUUUUUUUUUGUUAUUUAAUGAAAUCUUCACAUUUUUUUUUCUUUCUUGCGUUUUGCAAAUUAAACACAAAAGUUUAAACCUUUUCAUAGACAACAUUCAUAAGAACGAAGAUGUUAGUAAUUUCGGUUUUACCCUUGAUACCUUAAUAUACACUAUGGAAUCUGACAAAGAGAGUGACGAUGAAGAUGUUCGGAAAAUAUCUUCAGAACUGUUAAGAUUAAUAGAAGAAGAAGAUAAGAUCCUAGGUCCUCACUAAGAGCUAGUUGAAGUAAUGAAUUUGGGUUCUCAAGAGGAAUAAAAAGAGGUAAAAAAUUGAAACAUCAAUGACUAGUAAAACUCGAAAAAAAAAUAAUCAAUUUUUUACAUGAGUACUCAGAUAUUUUUGCUUGGAGUUAUCAGGAUAUGUCAAGGUUAAAUACAGAUAUUGUAGUACAUCGUGUUCUCCUUUGAAGCCAUAAUGCAAUCCAGUAAGACAAAAGCUACGUAAAAUGAAGCCUAAUGUAUUGAUUAAAAUAAAAGUUGAAGUACAUAAAAAAAUUAAAGCAGGGUUCCUCGCAGUCUCCGAAUAUCCUGAAUGGGUGGCAAACAUUGUUUGAGUACCCAAAAAAGAUGGAAAAGUGAGAAUGUGUGUGGACUAUAGAAAUUUAAAUCAAUCCAGAAAAAUUGAAUGAGGAUUGUGAAAAAGCUUUCAACAAAAUUAAGCAGUAUUUGCAGACCACCUAUAUUGAUACCUCCAGCUCCAGGGCGACCGUUAAUCCUAUACUUGACAGUAUUAGAAGGUUCUAUAGAUGGUGUUUUAGGACAACAUGACUUAUCAGGGAAGAAAGAACACGUUAUUUAUUAUUUGAGCAAAAAAUUCAUUGAUUAUGAGUCAAAAUACUCAAUGUUAGAGCGAACUUGUUGUGUUUUGGUAUGGACUACUCACCGUUUGAGGCAAUAUAUGUUAUAUCAUACGACAUGGCUUAUUUAAAAAAUGGAUCCAAUAAAAUAUAUUUUUGAGAAGCCGUCAUUAUCUGGGAGGAUUGCAAAAUGGCAAGUAUUGUUGUCAAAGUAUGAUCUUAUUUAUGUUACUAAAAAAGCAAUAAAAGGAAGUGCAGUUGCUAAUCAUUUAGCUGCCCAACCAGUAGCAGAUUACGAGCCAAUGAGGGUUGAUUUCCCUUACGAAAACAUAUUUCUAGUUGAAAAGGAUGUUAUAGAUCAUGAGACAUGGAUUAUGCUUUUUAAUUGUGUCUCAAAUGAGUUGGGACAUGGAAUUGGAGCUGUACUAAUUUUCCCAGAAGGAAAGGUAUUUCCCCUAACGACUAAGUUAUGUUUUGAUUGCACUCACAAUAUCGUUGAAUAUGAAGCAUGUACUAUGGGACUUCAAGCAUCAUACGACAUGAGUAUUAAAAAGUUAAAAGUUUUGGGUGACUCAAUGCUAGUAAUACAUCAAGUCAAGGAAGAAUGGAAAACAAGAGAUAUUAAAUUAGUGUCUUACAGCCAAUACGUUGCAAAAUUAUCUCAAAAUUUCGAGAAAACUUCAUUUGAUCAUGUUCAUAGGGAAGACAAUCGAAUAGCAGAUGCAUUAGCCACCCUGGCAGUGAUGUUUAAUCUUAACCUUGAGUGUGAACUUUAUCCAAUCCAAAUUACAAAGAGAGAUGCGCCGACAUAUUGCAUGAAUAUUGAAAAUGAUAAUAAGUCAUGAUAUUUUGACAUCAAGCAAUACAUAAAGUGUAGAGAAUAUCCAUAUGGAGCUUUAGAGAAUGACAAGCGCACAAUAAGAAGGUUGGCCAUGAACUUUUUCUUAAGUGAUGAAGUUCUUUAUAAAAGAAACCAUGAUAAUGUGCUCCUUCGGUGUGUUGAUGUGGAAUAAGCAAAACAAACUAUGACAGAAAUUCAUGAAAGAAUAUGUGGAACACAUGCUACUGGACAUAUGAUGGCUAGACAAAUACUUAAAUUUGGUUACUAUUGGACAACGAUGGAAUCAGACUGUAUAAAAUAUGCAACGAAAUGUAAAAAGUGUCAAAUUUAUAUGGAUAAGAUCCAUGCAGCAACAUCUCCAAUGCAUGUCUUGUCAGCACCCUUGUCGUUUUCUUUGUGGGGAAUGGAUGUUAUUGGGCCCAUUGAUCCUUGCUAAAGCCUCAAAUGGUUAUUAUUUUAUUCUUGUGGUUAUUGAUUACUUCACUAAAUGGAUAGAGGCGACAUCUUACUAUAACGUUACAAGAAAAGUGGUGCUCAAGUUUAUCAAGAAAGAGUUGAUCAGUCGUUAUGUUCUUUCGAAGGGUAUUUUUACAGAGGCCAAGAACCUUAAUAACAAAAUGAUGGAUGAACUUUGUGAGCAAUUCAAGAUCAAUCGCAUAAAUUCGACUCCAUAUCGCCCCAAGAUGAAUGGGGCAGUUGAGACAGCCAACAAAAAUAUUAAAAGAAUCAUUGAGAAGAUGACAACAACAUACAAAGAUUAACAUAAAAUUUUACCGUUUGCACUGCAUGGAUAUCAACAUCAGUUCAUACUUCAACAGGGGCAACACCAUUUUCUUUGGUUUAUGGUAUGAAAGUUGUCCUACCUUUGGAAGUUGAGAUACCUUCAUUGAGAGUUCUGAUGGACGCUAAGCUAGAUGAAGCUGAAUGGAUACGACGACGUUAUGAGCAGUUGAAUUUUGUUGAAGAAAAACGUUUGGCAGCAUUAAGUCAUGGACAAUUUUACCAAAGAAGACUAAUGUGUGCAUACAAUAAAAAAGUGCACCCUCGAAGUUUUCAAGAAGGAGAUUUGGUGUUAAAAAGGAUAUUUCCAUUUCAAAAGGAUCAUCGAGAAAAAUGGACUCGUAAUUAUGAAGGUUCGUUUGUGGUGAAAAAUGCUUUUUCAGGAGGAGCUUUGCUUUUAACCAAUAUGGAUGGCGUUGAGUUAAAAAAUCAUGUGAAUUCAGAUUAUGUUCGAAGAUAUUAUGCAUGAGGCCUUUUCAUAGAAAGUUUCGUAGUGUUGAAAGAAGUCAGGGGUAUUUCUCGAAAACUUACAUUUAGUUCUUAGAAUGUUAUUUCCAUAUGUAUAAAUUUCUCCUUACCUCCUCUCUUUGUACUCCUAUUCCAAGAAUCAUUUUCAUUUCUUAUCAUAUUUAUCAAACAUUUGUUUAUUUGUCAAUCAUUCUUUCAUCCUUUUUGAAAUGUCAUCAAAUUAUAGUAAACAUCCAUUAUUCUAUCUAUUGUUAAUUAACAAAUAUUCAGUACAACUAAUUGUAUUUGCAAACCAAGUAAAAGCUAUGAUUUUCUCUUGUUAAGACUUAAGAAAAAUAUAGGUGUUUACAAGUCCAGACAAAUUUCUCUACAACUGUGAGUUGCUACAAUUGGAAGUCUACAUCCUAAAGGAUUCGCGUUUUGUGAAGUCCAAGACUAAAACACAUUAGGUCUUUACAACAUAGUGCAGUCUUACGCAGUUUGGAUUCGUUUGUUUGAUACGAAGAGUAGUGAGUUUGACAGCUUAAAAAGUUCUCGUGAUAUAUGUCUUAUUAUAUCAUAUAAUGACCAUGCUGAUAAAUUGUUAAUGGUAUUGGUAAAAUGGAGUAGUAAGCUAUUUAUUUCUUUAAAAAACAUAAUAUUUUAAAAUUAAAUUUCAACUCGGUUUAAAAGAAGAAUGAGUCCACAUUAUCAAAUCUAGCCCUAGUGCUAAGAUUGAUGUUUUUUUUUAUUUUAAAAUUUUUGGUUAAAUCGAGCUCAGAUCUGAAGCUGAGGUUGAAGUCUGUCUAUCGGGUCAUUUCCUUUAUUUAUCAAACCUAGUUCUAGAGCUAACAUUGAUGUUUUUUCAAAUUUGGUUAAAUCGAGCCCAUAUCUAAAGUUGAGGCUGAAGUCUGUCUAUCAUGUCCUUUCCUUUAUUUAUCAAACCUAGUUUUAGAGCUAAGGUUGAUGUUUUUUUUCCAAUUUGGUUAAAUUGAGCCCAGAUCUGAAGCUGAGGUCAAAGUCUGUCUAUCAGGUCCUUUCUUUUAUUUAUCAAACCUAGCCCUAGAACUAAGGUUGAUGUUUUUUGAAAUUUGGUUAAAUCGAACCCAAAUCUAAAGGUGAGGUCGAAGUUUGUCUAUCAGGUCCUUUCUUUUAUUUAUCAAACCUAGCCCUAGAGCUAAGGUUGAUGUUUUUUUUUAAAUUUGGUUAAAUCCAAAUCUAAAGUUAAGGUUGAAGCCUGUCUAUCAGGUCUUUUCCCUUAUUGAACUUAGUCAAGUUCUAAAAUUGAUGUUUUUUCAAAUUUGAAUAAAUCGAGCACAGAUCUGAAGCUGAGGCCGAAACCUAUCUAUUAGAUCCAUUAUUUAUCAUACCUAACUUUGGAGAUAAGGUUGAUAUCCUUUUCAUUUGAUAGUAUUUUUGUUCUUUCUUCAGGUCUCUCCCUAAAAAGUAAAAAAAUUGACUCAAAUACUUUAUCUCUUUCAUUUGUCCACCUUUAAAUAUUUUCAGGAUGGACAAAUGGGGACAAAUUGUAGAUACCGUAUUUUGUCCUACAUUUAUUUGUUUGUUUAUUUGUUUUAAUAAAAGAAUUUGAAUUUAAAUUUGAAUUUUAAAUUUUAAAUUUUAAAUUUUAAAUCUUAAAUCUUAAAUUUUAAAUUUUAAAUUUUAAAUUUAUGUUUUAAAACAAAAAAUAAAAAAACAAAAACAUAUUUAAAAAAAAAUAAAAGUUGUUUCCUUUUCCUAUUUUUUCUCAAUCAUCUCCUAUUUUUGUUUUCCUUCGUCACCACACUCAUACUCUCUCACUUUCUCCCACUCUCUCACCUUGUCCCACUUUCUCUCGAUUGUCUUUUCAAUCUACUUCAGUUACUGAUCUAAAAAUAAACGAUCAAACUUGCCCUAAACCUUUGCCCAUAAAAAGAGAAUGAGGAGAUUCUUUCUAGUGAAGAUUUUGAAAUUCAAGGCACGUAAAAAAGAAAUAUUUUCAUCUGUUUGUGAUUUAGGAAGAGAUUAAGAGAUCAAGAAGGAAACAUUUUGCUGUGAAUUUAAGGCAGACGUAUUGGUAAGUUUUCUUUAGGUCCAUUUAAUUAAAUUUAUUGUUUUUUUUUUUAAAUUCAUGGUUGAUGAUUCUGCGUUAAUUAUUUGGCACUCAUUUUGGUUGUUGUGUUAAUUAUCGAUUUGAAUUACUCAUUUGGUUGUUGUGUUAAUGAAUUAGUGUCGUGCAUCAUGCGUUAAUUAUUUGGCACGCAUAUGCGUUUCGUGUUAAUUAUUCAUUUGACUCAUAUGUUAAUUAAUCAUUUGAUUAAUUAAUUAUCAUUCAUGUUAUGUUAAUUAUUUGGCUGCUGCGUUAAUUAUUUGGUACUCAUUUUACCUGAAGUGUUAAUUAUGGAUUUGAAUUAUUCAUUUGUCUGCUGUGUUAAUUAAUUAGUGUUGUGCAUCAUGCGUUAAUUAUUUGGCACUCAUUUCGGUGCUGCUUAACUAUUCAUUUGAAUAACUCAUUUGACUCCUAUGUUAAUUAAUCAUUUGAUUAAUUAAUUAUCAUCCAUGUUAUGUUAAUUAUUUGGCUGCUGCGUUAAUUAUUUGGUACUCAUUUUGCAUGAAGUGUUAAUUAUGGAUUUGAAUUAUCCAUUUGGCUGUUGUGUUAAUUAAUUAGUGUUGUGCAUCAUGCGUUAAUUAUUUGGCACUCAUUUCGGUGCUGCUUAACUAUUCAUUUGAACAACUCAUUUGGCUCUUAUGUUAAUUAUUCAUUUGAUUAAUUAAUUAGCAUCAUGCAUGUUUUGUUAAUUAUUUGGCACCCAUUUGGCUUUAUGUUUUAAUUACUCUUUGUUAAUUAUUCUCAUGUAUUAAUUAAUUAAUCCUGCAUCUUGUGAUAAUCAUUUGACAUCCUGCAUUAAUUAAUUAGCAUGUUGACCUACUUUAAUUACUUGACACUCAUUUGACAUUCUGAUUUAAUUAUUUGUAUUAAUUUGGCUAGUGUAUUAUUUAUUUGUAUUUUGCGUUAAUUAAUUUGCAUACUGACAUACUUUAAUUACUUGGCAUCUAUUUGUCAUUCUAUAUUAUGAGUUAUUUAUUUGUAUCUUGCAUUAAUUAAUUAGCAUGCCAACCUACUUUAAUUACUUGACAUCCAUUUGUCAUUCUAUAUUAUGAGUUAUUCAUUUGUAUCUUGCAUUAAUUAAUUAGCAUGUUGACCUACUUUAAUUAUCUCCCAAAUGGGUGUCAAAUAAUUAACGCAUGAUGCACGGCACUAAUUAAUUAACACAACACCCAAAUAGUAAUUCAAAUUGAUAAUUAACACAUAAACCAAAAUUGGUGUCAAAUAAUUAAGGCAGAAUAAUCAACAUGAAUUUUAAAAAAAAAAAUUAAUUAAAUGGACUUAAAAAAACUUAACAACAAAUCUGCCUUAAAUCACAACAAAAUGUUUCUUUCUUGAUCUCUCAAUCUCUUCCCAAAUCACAAACAGAUGAAAAUAUUUUUUUUACGUGUACCCUUGAAUUUCAAAAUCUUCCCCAGAAAGAAUCUACUCGUUCUCGCAAAGGUUUAGGGCAACUUUGAUAGUUUAUUUUUAAAUAGUAAGUGAAGUAGAGUGAAAAGACUAUAGAGAGAAAGUAGGAGAAGGUGAGAGAGUGGGAGAGAGUGGGAGAGAGUAGGAGAGUGGGAGAAAGUGGGAGAGUGGGAAGGUAUGAGCGUGGUGACGAAGUAAAACAAAAAUAGAAGAUAGUUGAGAAAAAAUAGGAAGGGAAACACCUUUUUUUAAAAAAUAUAUGUUUAUGUUUUUCUAUUUUUUGUUUUAAAACAUAAAUUUAAAAUUCAAAUUCUUUUAUUAAAAAGUAAUAAAUAAAUAUAGGACAGAAUACGAUAUCUAAAACGGGAUCAAUAUUGUUCUUUCUGUCUUAAUCUUGAUGUUAGGAUAUCAAUAGUGCAAUAAUUGCAACAUGAAAUAUAAUGGUUGUUGAUCAAAUUAAUUUAAUUUCGUUUGUGAUUUUUCUUUACUUUUUUCAAUGUGUAUUUUGAGUUGAAUCUGAUUUCAAGUGAUUUUGGUUUUAUUUUCUACAUUGAUUUUGUUUUUGUUUUACUUUUUCUCAAUUUUGUAUAUCAUUAUUGUGAUGUACUUAUAUAUAUGUAUUAGUUGGAUGGUAUACUUAAUACAUGAUUUUCAUUUUUUUCAUGUUUUAUGCAAUUCAUUAUCGUAUUAUUAAAUAUAUGAAUGAUAUAACUGCGUGUACCAUUAUCAGGUUUAUGAACAAGAUAUUAUUAAAGUAUAUUAGUAAAGUGAAUCAUAAUCAGGUAUAUGAAUCAAGUUUACAAUUAUAUAUCAAUAGUGUAUCAAAGUGUAUAAGUAGGACUUCAAGCAUAUCAAGUGUAUUUAAUCAAUCAAAUGUAUAAGUGAAGAAUAAUAUUAAAUGUAUAUGUAGUGCAUCAAACAUAUCAAAUUUGUUUAGUGUACCAAUGAAGUAUAACAAGCUUAUUUUGUGGUGCAUCAAGUGUAUCAAACUUAUAAGUGAAGCCUUUAAAUGUAUCAAGGUCUAAAGGGUAUAAAGUGCAUAAAAAAGAAUAAAAUAUAGCAAGGAGUAUUAGGUGUAUCAAAUGGUAUCGAAUGUAUCAAAGAGCUUCAUAGUGCAUCAAGUGUAUCAAGAUCCAAAAGGUUAUCAUGAAGUAUCAAAUGUACAUCAAGCAUAUCAAGGAGUAUUAGGAAUAUCAAGGGAUGUUAGAUAUAUCAAAUGUAUAUUAGUGACAAUGGCUAUUGUGACAUUUUACAUCUUGUAUAUGUGGGCUAGACUUUACUUUUAUCAUUUUUGCAAACAAUAAAUUUGUGUGCGCUAUGGACUUAAUCAUUAUAACUUAUUUUACUUUUUUUUUUUUUUUGGAGCAUCUAGUAUAUAUAAAUUCAAGGAAGAAGAAAGAUCAAGAGAUUUUAAAAGAUUUCAUUAUAAUUUUUUAACUUCUCAAAUUCUCCACUUUUCCAAAAAAAAUACAAUAAUUACAAAUAAAUGCAUUAAAUUUGAGGAAUGAGGAAGUUUGAACGAUUUAAUGGAGUAUUUUUGUUAGUUAUAAAACUAAGAAUUUAGUAUCAACACAUUACUUACUGUCAAAAAUCUAUAUAAUGUAAGAAGACAAAAUAGUCCCCAACAUAAUGGUAGAAAUAUGUAUUGACAAAAGGACAAAAAUGGGCCACAAAGUUUAUAUAAGUUUUAAGAUUUUAUGUAUACGGUAGAUGUGAGAUGAAAAACCCAAAUUUGUAAGUUUGAAAUGAAUAGUAGAAAUGGUGUAAAAAAGUUGAUGGGUGUUCCUGUUGGCACUUGACAGCAUGGAAGAGAUUUGUUUAUAAUGUAGAAAAGGUGUGAAAUAUUAUAUUUAUUUAUUUGGUGGAAAGGUAUUGUAAUUAUUAAGCAAUAUUAUAUUUAUAGAAUGGGGAUAAUAAAUUAAUAAUAGGAAAGAGAAAAUUAGAGUAGGGAAAAAGAGAGGAUAAUAAUAAUAUUAUUAUGUAUAUUUGAUUGUGUGGGUGUUUCUAGUUGGCACAUCUUUCGUCGCUUUGUGGGAGUAGAAGCAGAUGAUGUGGAAAACUUUGGAUUGUAUUUAAUGCGGAGUCACGCGCGCUUCUUCUCGCCUUUUCACUUCACACGUGAGAUCUCACCUCUUCCGCAGCCACACCCAAACUCCCUUCUUUUCGACGCAUUGCUCGUGACGCCUCCGUUUUCCUUUAAAUGCUUUUCAUCUAUUUGCUAUACACUCUUGUAUUAUUCAUUCAUAUUCACAAAUUUUAUUAUAUUUAUAUUUUGAAUUCAAUUCUUAUAUUUAUAAUUAUCCAUGUAAUUUGAUUAUAAAUUUAAAUAACUUUUUUAAAAAAUACAAAAAUAUUAAAGCCAUUUAUGAUGCUAUAUUUAAAAAUCUCUGUGUGUGGAAUUAAAAUCUUGUUUUAUUAUCUAUAUAAUGAUUUCUUUUUUUUUUUUUUUUGUAAUUUGAUUCAUAAUUCUUAUAUUUUUAAUGAAUAAAUUGUAUAGAAUUAAUUUUUGCUAUCUUUAUUGUUUUGUAGAGAGUUUGAGAUAAGUUUGAUUUUCUUUGGUAUUGGUUCCUGCUCAAUUGUUUCCUAAGCUUCAUAUAUGUUUUUUAAAAAUUUUGACCCUUUUAAGUUCCAAGUUCUUUAAGAAAACUUUCUAAAACAAACUUUUCCUUUUCCUUUUAUCUAUGAGAUGAUCCACAACAAUACAACUUUGACAAUUUCGCAGACCCAAUUGAUUGUGGCAGACAAAGUCUCCAUUAUUGUCAUUAAUUAAUGUGAUCAAAUAUGAAAAGUGUUAGAAAAAUCUUAAUACUUAUGGAUAGUCCUUUUUCCUCUUGGGAUCAUAUUUAACAAUUCCACUAAGAUCUCCCUAAAAGCAUGCUAGUGAUAAAAAAAAAAAAACUCACUUUUCCUUUCAUCGUAUGACAACCGGAAAAGGGCAAAGCAAGGGCACUCCCAUUUUGAGGAGUCGAGAUCAUGGUUGGAGAAUCCUCGUUUGGGGAUCGAUUAGUGUUUCCAGUGAAAUUUGGGAUUCUUCACCUCAAACGAGAUGGGUACCCGGAAGGACACGACCUUGCAAGGAUUUUUGCCAUCUCUAACCUUAACCUUGUUGAGAUAGAAUUUUGAAUCUUUACUCGAUCUAAUGCCCAUCUUUAAAGCCUAAUUAGUCAUCACAAAUUUGUUUUAUAAAUAUGUGUGUAAGUCGCUAGUAAAACUAUGUUUUAUUUGUAAAUAUUUUCACGCGUUUUGGUUAUAUUUAGAAACAAUUUUUAAAAAAAGUUAUAAAAAAAAAAUGACAAAAUCAAAUAUUUACACACAUUCCAUUAUAAAAUCAAAUAUAUUCCAUUUUUGUUCCUUCGACUUAAAACAAAAAAAAGAUAAACAGCUUGUGUUUUCUAUUCCUAAAAAAACUAAAACUUUUAAAGUAUUUAAUAAGGUUUUUUCUCCAAUCUCAAAAUCGUUGAUUAAUCACUUUAAUGGCAUUUUUAGACGGUAUAGUACUUUAAUAUUUAUUGGAAAACAAAUUUUAAUUAAUCUAAUAUACUAAAGUUGUUUUUUCAUUCCAAUAAUCACUCAAUAUUAAUUUUAUUAAAAAAGAAUAUUUUUUCACAAAAAAAUUUAUCAAAAAAUAUAAUUUCUGAGUAUUUAAUUUAAAAAACAAUGCAUUUAAAAAAUACAAAAAUAGUUUUAGAAAUAAUUUAAAAGUUUAUUCUAAACAAAUCUCAUAAAAACCUUUUUUUAGGAAUGAAUUAGAAGAUAGGUAUAAUAUAUUUGAACAUGUUAUGUCAUUCAGUAAGUAAUCUAUGAGGCAGAGUAGGUAUUAAGAGUCGGUAUUAACAUAGCCUAAACUGAAGCUAUAAGCUGUGUAUGUAACAUCUUGUAUUAAUUAUAAGGAUAAAUUUUGAAAAAAUAAAAUAAAGUGGGAAAGUGAAGGCUAAUAAUAAUAAAUUAAUUACGUAUGAGAGUUUGAAUUUUGGUGGAAUAGGAAUAGUAGAUGAAAGUAUUGGGCAUUUGCGAUUUGAAAUAUGAUAUGACACGUAAUUCAAUAAACGAGGCAUUCAUUGGAUUAACGCUCUAUCCCACAUGUUAUGUCACAUUCAGAUAAAAUUUCGUACCCCUACCAAUUCCUUCGUUUCAUUCUCACGACAAAACUUGCUUAUUAAAUUAUGUGGCCCUUCACCAACAUGAACUCGUCUUUUAUAUAAAUUAAAACUAUUCUUUUCAAGUGGGUUUUUUAAAAAAUAUAUAACUAAUCGAUCAAAUAUUUAUGCUAUAUACAUCUAUAUCAAAAUGAUUUUGAAAAUGAAAAAAAAUCUACAAAGCAAUAAAAAAUACCAACAAUAUAUCAGUCAACACACGAUUAAUCGAUCACACGUGUUUCUACUAAAGCCCGAGCCUCCCUUCAAUUUUAUCGUUUUUAUAUAAUAUGUAUAAAGAAAACUAAUAAAUAUUUAAUAUUUGUAGAUAGUUCAGUGGCUACAGUGUUUUUAGUUUCUUUCCUAAAUUACAACUCGAAGUCUCAGUCAAUAAAUUUUAUAGAUCGGUCACUGCGUGUGCGAGUAAUCUUCUUCUAAAAUGAUCAAGUACUACAGUUUAAACGAAUUAUCUAUGAUCUACGAUCAUGUAAUUCUUUUUAAAUGAUGGAGAAAAAUGUUUUAAAUUUAAACGAUUGUGUUGACAAUGGCGAAUGAUUGCGUUGAUCAUGGCAAACGAUCGUGUUCGUUAUGGUAAGCAAUUGUGUAGUUUAAUGUAAAUUAUCGUUAAAAACUUCAAAUAUAGUGAUCGUGUUGACCAUGUUGAUUGUGGUAAGCGAUCUUUUAGAUAAUGAUACACGAUGGUGUAAUUCUUUUUAAAUGAUGGAAAAAAUGCUUGAAAUUUAAGGGAUCGUGUUGACUAUGGUAAACAAUCGUGCUGAUAAUUUAAAACGAUAUUUAAAUGAUCUUGAUAUUCUUAAAUAUGAUGAAGAUGAAGAAGAGUAUUGAAACAAUCAUGAAAUAGUUUCAAAGAACCGUUUAAAAAUAGAAGAAAAUAUGGAGGAGGAGAUGAAGAAAUCGCAAAGAAGAUGAAUGAUCACAAAGAAGAAGAAGAAAAAGAAGUGACAAAUCAUCCCACAAUAUUAAGAGCAAAUCUAAAAUUUAUAAAUACAAUGCAGUUUUAUUUUUAGGUAAUUGCAAUUGAUGACCAUUUUAUGAAUAAUAAUUAAGGACAUAACAAAAUUUUAAAAAAAUUGCAAAUAUAACAAAACCAUCGUUGAUAAACUGUCUAUCAGUGAUAGAUCAAUAUUUACAACAUGGUCUAUCCGUGAUAGACUUCUAUCAUUGAUAGAAUUUGACGAAUUUUGCUAUUUUUGCAAAUUUUUUAAAAUGUUGUUAUAUACUCAAUUAUUUUGAAUUUAAUUGCUAAAUUUGCAACUAUCCCUUUAUUUUUUGUUAGAACGACGGUAAAUAUUUUUUUAAUUUUAUUACAUUUAUGUAAGUUAUCCUAUUUUUAAAGUAUUUUAUUUUUAGUUUUAGAUUUUUUUAAAAUCAAACAUUAUAAAAAUUCACACUUUUCAUCCAAAUUUUAUAUUUUCAUAUCUAUUCUCUACUAAUAUUAAAAAAACAAAAAACUAUAUCUUAUUCUGAUCCGAAGAAAAUUGUAGUUUUGAAAGUGGAAUUUAUAAUUCAAACAAGUUGUGAGAUUAAAAAAAGAAAGAAAAAAACAAAAAUGUUAAGAAACCAUAUUUUAUAGUUGAGAAGUUGUUUGAAGUUUGAAAAUAUAAUUAAGCAGAGAAGUUAAUAAGAUAAAGGAGUGUUUUCAAACUUCAAUCUUUUUCUUUUAGAAAAAAUGGUCAUUAGAUUGGGAGACUAAUCAUUUUUAAUUGAUAUGUUUUUAUAAUUAAUAAACUCUUAAAAACUCAAAGUUUGGAAAAACCAUUUUAGUCAUUUAUAUGUUCACGUCCUAAUGUUGUUUUGAGUGUGUGUAUUAUUAGCUGGUCGAUGUGAAUGUAUAUUAAAAUCAUAUAUGUGUGGUUGGUUAACUAAAUCAAUCAAAUAAUGAAUAUUAAAUAACAAAAUAAUAUAGUUCGGCACCUUGUUAGGGAUAGAAAAAAGGAACUAUUUAUAAAAUAUAGCAAAAACAUUAAACAAAUGAGAGAGAGUGAUAGAUUUGAGUAUAUUUUGUAAAUAGUUUUAAUAAAAGUAAAUUUAACAAAAAUAUUUACUAACAUAGUAAAAUUUUCAGAUUCUAUCAAUAAUAGACAUUGUAUUAUAUACUUCUAUCAGUAAUAUUUUUUUUAGUAUGUAUCUCAUUCACGUCAAUUUUAACCAAUAGUUUUUAAAUGAAUCUCAUUCAUGUUAUUUAAUAUUUGAAUCUUAUCCAAAUACAUUGUUUUCUCAUAUUAUAUAGUAAAGUUGUGACUCUUAUCCAAAUUAACUUUAUAAUGUAACGUACCACGUACCUUCAACACACAUUUCCUUAUUAAUUAGAUCGAUUCAAAACUUUCCAAAACCAAAUAAUCCUUGUUUUAUCGUUGGUGAGAUAGCAAUGGAAUCUGAUAGACCUAUAAAUUAGAAACUCUAAUGAUUCGAGAUUAACUUAAUUAAACUCUUUAGUUAAAUCAAUCAACAUUUAUUAACUAUGAGUUAUUCCACUAAAGACCCAGAACUACACUCUUCACAUUGUAUGUAAGACCUAUAUCUAGGAUAAGAAGUAAAAAUUUGACUAAGUAUUCUAAAGCAGACGUUGAACAGUUUACACAAUAAGAGAUUGGCGAUUUGAAGUAGUAUGUGAGGAAACAAGGUUAUGCGAUGAGACGUUUAGUUUCAUUAUUUCUUGUUAGUGUAUAUUCGUUUCAUUACUAUUAUUUACCACUGCAUAUUUAAAACAUGUUAUGUGACACAUAUAGUUAUAUUAUUCAUUGUCAGGUAUGGUCAAAAUUGUUGUGAAUGUACAACAUAAAAAAUAUCAUAUAGUUUACAAUAUAUAUCAUAUAUCAUUAAACAUUAAACAUUAAGCAUCACACACAUAAUAUAUAAUUAAAUAGCAGACAUGCAUAAUACUUCAUAUAUAUUAAAUAUCAUUAAGCAACAAACACAUAAUAUAUCAUAUAUUAUACAACAUAUAUAAAAUAUCAUUAGUAAUAUCUUUCCUUAAUUGUAUUGAUACAAAUUUAUACUUUCACACAAUGUAAAAUUUGUUACAAAAAUAAAAUACAAUGUAGAAUAUGCACACAUACAUUGUUAUAUAAUAUUAUGUUAAAUAUACAUGAGUAUAUAAUGAUCUAUUUAAAUAAAAAAAAUUCAGUCACGGUAGGAUUUUACAUAUUAACUUCCAAUAUAUGAAAAACAAUGCAAAACUAAAGAAAAUGACGUGAUGUAUAUAUACUUGACUGAAUGUAAAUAGGGGUAUAUAUUGUAAAUUAUGUGGCAUAUAUACUUUAUUCACUUGUAAAUUUUCUUUAAUGAAAAAUUUUAACCAAAAAUUUCACUCGCAUGUUAUAUUUCACAAUUUCAGACACAUAAUUAAUAAUAUUAAAUAAAUAUGUAUUCAUCGGAAAAAUUUGAAGGAGAUGAACAGAAUAUGAAAGAACGCACGAAGAGAGAGAUCUAAAAGUGGGAGAGAGAUCAGACGGAGGGAAGAAUUUUUUUAACAAAAUCAUUAAAAGAAAAAUAAUUAAGAAUGUCACACCCCGCCCCAAGCACUUGCUCGCUCGACCCGAGACCGGUGUAAAGCCAACCGACGUUAUUAUUCUUCUGAACAACAUCAAUUGACCAUAACUAUAACUUUUAACAACCUAUAUGAAUUAAAACUUAUGCAACGGAAACUAAAAAAAAUAACUUGAACAACUUUUUAAACUUUAAACAGGUAGUCGAGGCUAAAUGUCAUUUAUUACAAACUUUACUUACAGACCAAACAAAAAUUAAACAACUUAAACUUAUGCAAAACCAUGUUCAUGAUAAGAUUAAAACUGACCCUUAAAACUAUCAACAAGUUUCGCAUUGCAGUCUGAAGACAACGGUCAGGUUCUCGGAUCACGGUCUCUACCUGGAAAGUGAAAAAAUAUUUUGAAAGGGUGAGCUAAAAAGUCUAGUGAGUGAUGGUUUUAUAAAACAGACUUUUAAAACAGAUACACUUUAAACAUUUCAUAAACAUAACAUAAAAUCUUUAAGAAAUCUCUUGUAACUAAACAUUUUCUAACAUUCAAAUACUCAUUUAACUUUGUAUACUCUAUACCCUGAAAAACAUAAACAAGAUAGCAGAGCUCCUUAUGUCAUACUAUCCCACUAAACCUCGGUUAAAUACUUGAUCAGGAUAGCAGGACAUCGAUCAUACUAUUCCUACCUAAACUUGGGCAAGAUAGUAGAGUACUGAUCAUACUAUUCUUGCCUGAACUCGAAGGUAGCGGCUAAGUGGUCAGCAUAGCCCUAUACCCCUGUUGUGUACAUUGACCAUCGAGAACUCGAUAUAUAAAGUACCAUAUUUUUCUCUUUAAAAACAUUAUAUUAAACUCAUUCUUUUCAUAAAUCAUUGCUAGUAAAUAUUAUAAAUACAUGUUUGCUAAAAAUGUUUCUAUACUCAUGUUUUAGAAUACUUCUCUAAAUAACAUGCUUUAACACUUUUCAUUAACAUAUUGAUAAAUAGAAAUAAGAUUCACUUAGAAGCAUACUUAAAUAAUAGCUUGUAAAACAUAUUAGAAAUUAUUUUAUUACUCAUUAAUCAUAGGUUAAAAUGACUUUAGUAAACUCAUUUUUCACUCACAAAUCACAUAUUAAACACUUGGUUGGUAUGCUUGUUCAAUUUUCUCUUGUCUUGAAAUAAUGAAAACAACUUCAAUUAAUUCCUUUUUAUUCUAAAAUAUCAAACACAACCCCAAAACGCUUAGAAAAACCUUUCUAAAACCAAAACGCAUGCCCAACAUGCCAUCCUAAUUUUUUAAACUUGGCCACUGUCCAAAAUCUCAUUCUCGGCCAGAACUUAGCUUCUUCUUUAGAUCUUUAUAACUUAAACUCCAUAACUCAAAUAAAUAUAUUUCCUUCUAAACAAUUAUUGCAAAAUGUCUUAACAUUCAUACCUCAAAAUUUCAACUUCAGAUUCCAAUGGAUGAACACUACAACCCUCUACAAGUCCACGUUGUUCAGAACCACCUAUAUUCUGACCUUCCUUGCUUUCUACAGCCAAAACGCAACUCUUCCUUACUCAAAUUAAACCAAAAACCCCAACUUAGAAAACAAACUCAAAAUAGAAACUUUUAAGACUAGUUUCACUUAAAACGCUUGAGUGGAUUGUGAGAAACUUAAUACUAAAGCUGGCCUAUUUGUAAAGUUCCUUGCAUGAGUACAAGUUGACACCUUAUCCUUGCUUAAAUCCACCUUAAACCUUCUUAAGGCACCUUCUGCUUACUUUACACCUUAUAAUGCAUGCUAACAAGGAUUUUACACCUCACUAAAAUCUUAAACCACUUGCCCUUAUCAUGCCACAUAGUUGUCCAAAACGCAUAGCUAACUUCCAAGAUCAUCUCGCCUAAUUUCUCGACCAGACUACAUAACCCGACUUAGAAACGUUACAACUUAAAAUUCGUAACUCUUUUGAUAACACAAAGUUUCUCCAAAAUGUAUUAAUUUUCUUCCUUCAAACGUUCAGGGAAAAACGCCAAACUAUGCAUUUUGUAGCAUUCUGGAAGUGCAUCUUGCUCAGAUUCACUCGUGAACUGACCUUCUCACCUUUUUUUGUCCAAAACAUCAACAUUUUCAUAUCCAGAACACCCAACAACCUUCUUUAAUAAACUAGACUCAAAUUUUGAACUUUCAAGACCAAUUUUAGAGCUAACACCUAAGUGAGUUAUGAGAAACUCUUUUUAUGAAGUUAGCUAAAACGCACAACCUCUACGUUCCUUCUUUCUCACCAGCCUUAAACACUCCAAACCCUUUCUAACCUCUAAAACCAUUUCGCUAAGUCAACUUAAAACCCCUAAAAAGUACUAUUUUUUGAUACUUAACCAAAAAAUUUCCUUCUUUCAAACCUCUUAAACUCUUUGGAAAAACUACACUAUCCAAAGUCUAGAUCUUACAAUGGGUAAUUUUGAUUAUAAUGUUACCAUAAUAGAAUUAAUUACAUACCAUAUUUACAUAAGAUAUCUAAUUGAAGGAAUAUAAUUCCCAUAGCGGAAGCAUAUGAACGUCGUGCAAAUGAAAUUCAAUUUGAAAAAGAAAAAGAGUUAAGAGAAAACAAAACCAAACAUGCUAAGGAGGAAGAAAAGGGAAAAACCUAACCUUUGUAGAAUUUCUCCCGGGAACAAUUCUUUGAAUCUCCAAACACCAUGAAAUCUUCUUUGUUAUCCUCAAGGUGAAAAUUAACAUAGAGUUGUGGCCUUCUGUGAUUUUGUUUUGGUGAAAAGGAAAAACUUUUGUAUAUUGUGAGAUUUUGCAAAGAGAUCAUGAUAUGGAGAGUUAAAGAUUGGUUUUGGAGAGAUAGAGGAGAUAAAGAGGGAAGUGAUCAAAUAAUUCUCAUCCUCUCCAUCACGUAGAAUAACUCCUUGAGAGUUAUUUUAUUAAUUAAAAUUAUAUCAAUAAAAUAAAAUAAAUAUAAACUUAGUUUAUAUUAUAUGAGUUUAAUUCAUAUUAUAUCUCAUAAUAUAAACUAAGUUUAUAUAUAAUAUAAACAAUGAUUUAGAUCUGUGACGUAAUCUAUAGUUUUAAUAUGAAUCAAAUUCAUAUUAAUUUUAACAUAUAGUUUAUUUAUGAAUCUUAUUCAUAUUGUUAUUUUUAUUAUUCAAAUCAUAUUCAAAUAUUAAAUUCUCUCAUAAAAACUUUAUAUUAUAAUGUAUCAAAUACAUUAAUUGUAUCAUAUACAAUUUAUUCUUUUUAAUCAAUUUGAACAAUUCAAAUUAAACCAAAAAUAAAUUUGAUUCUAAUUUAUUCUUAUUGAGAUAACAAGGGGACCUUAUGGACCUACAAAUUAAAGCUCUAAUGAUAUGUGAUUAAUUAAUUAAAUUUUUUAAUUAAAUUAAUUUCUAUUAAUUAACUAUCAAUCAUUCCACUAAAGACUAAUAGUUGCACUCUUUUUACUAUAGAUAUAUUUUUGUGUCCAUUAGAUAUAAUCAAUCAACAUUACAAUGACCCUUUAUAAAUUGCUUGUAAGUACAAGUAGGCCAAAAAAUACCAUUUUGCCUUUGUAGUUACAUCUAACUCCUUAAGUGCCACUUAUUUCUCUAAUGAACAAUAAUAAUUAUAGUCCCACUAUAACUGAACUCCUCUCGAGCCAAGAGAGGGUGUGGCAUCACAUUGUUCAAGCCCUAAAAUCAACGCUUAAGAGAGUAAUUUCUCUACUUACUCUAUCUAUAGAGAAGGGGUGGAUUCUUUCUUGUGUAGCUGUGUUCCUAGCUCCCCAAUUGAAUGAAUCUCCUAUAGAUACAUUGAAUCAACGACAUAAGCCACUCCCAACCAUGCAAAUCAAAAUACCGCAUUCAUAAGAAAGAGUUCAUAACUCACUCAGGAUUCAUGUUAAGUCACCUAUGGUCAUCCUAGUGAAAUGUAGUUUGAACUAGUAAUAGUGUUAAUAAGAGAGAUUAUUCAUUUCAUGGUUCGAUUUUAUACAAACCCUUUGUAUAGAGUACUCACACUCUAAUAUCUCGACAUGAAUGAUUAUGAUCAAAUCAUUUGUAGCACUUUGGAACAAUUGUAACAACUAAAAAGUAAACAAUAUUCGUAGUGUCACUAAUAUAAGGUAUCUAGCCUUAUCCAUCUACUACAGUCCAUUUAGGUUAUCAGUUAAACAUGAUCCACUUGUAUGUCUUCAUAUACAUGUUUAAGUUAAAGAAGAUAGAUAUUAUUUUAUUAGUUCUGUGGGUUAAUGCAACUAAAUGUCAAAUAAAAUAAAACACUUUAUUUUAUUAGAUAAAUAAAAUGUUUCUACAAUAUAUACAAUUACAAACUACAAGAUCACAAGAUUUAGAGCAUCAACACCAACAAUCUAAUAAAUGCAAAUCUUAAUCAUACACUAUGUUCCACUUUUCUUAUUUCAUUUUUCUAUUUUUUAAUAUCUUAUUAACAAUAAAGAUAGAUAGUUUGGUCUUUUGGAUUCUACAUUUGUGUAAAAUUGAAGCCCACUAGCACAUUUAUGAAAAUUUUGACCAUUAAAAUCAACUUGUAACGAGGCACCCCUAUUUAGUCUAUAAUAGUUAAAAUUCCCUAAUAAUUUUAGUGGGUAAGAAAUCAAAUGAAAAAAAGCUCAAUAACUCUAAUAACAUUUAACUAAAAGAGUCUAACAAUGAAAAUAUUUGUAAUAAUCAAUAACUAAUAUUCAAUACAUCAAUCUAAUGAACUCUCAAACAAAACCUUGAUUCUAUGUUAGAACCAUAGACUUUUAUUCAAUCUAGUUUAUUGUUUAUUGUUCUUAAUCUAGUUUAUUCAAAAUUGAUAGUAAAUAAAAAUCUAAAAAAUAAAAAGAAAAGAAAAAUCUAAAAGCCAAUUCCAAAAUGUAAAAAAAGAAAAGAAAAAAAAAAAGACAUUUUAAGUGGCAAUAAAUUAAGAUGGUAAGGUAAUAAAGAGUAGAAGUUGGUGGGGAAUGUACAGUGAAAUUUGAUGAUAAACACACAGUGAAACGGACUUUAUAAUAGUUGACAACGCGGGUGCGGUGGAAAUGGAACCCCCAACGCAACCGCCUUCAAUUGGCUUGCUCCCUUCCCUUCCCUUCCUUUCAUUGCCAUUUUCAUUUCCAUUUUCAUUUCCAUUAUUAUUAUUGCUACUAUUAUUAUUAUUAUUAUUUUAAUCAAUUAAUUAACGCAAGCAUAGAAGAGAAGAAUCGCAGGCAGCAUUUUGGUUUUGUUUUUCCGUUUCUGCGCCAUCCUCGACUCUCUGUCUCUCCUCUUUCUCUCUCAACUUCAGAGUUCCAAUGGAGCAAGGAUCUGGGUUUUCCACUUCUUCCAACCCUUCUCAGGUUUCCUUCUUUUCUUUUCUUUUCUUUUCUUUUUCCAUCAUCAUUCUCCUUCUAUAUUUAUUCUUCCUUUUCUACUUCUCUCUAUUUCUAUCUCAUUUACCCAACUCCCCUAUACCCUUUUCCCCUUUCUUCCUCCCUUCCAUUUCCCCCCAAAUGGGUCUUUUCCCUACUCCUUAAUUCCCUUUUGCACCUUCCUGAUUCUGUGUUUUCAAUCGGAAAUUACAUCCUUUGCAGAUUUGUUGUUUUAGAUUUUGUCUACGUUACAGAUUUCUAGAUUUACGGCCUUUCAUCCUUACCUCUUUUUCCUCUUCUUUUUUUUUUUGGUCAACUUGUUUACGGUUUUCCUUUGCUUACUCUCUAGAUUCUUGUGGGAGUUCUUCUUGCCUUCUUUCUGUCAUCAGCAUUUUUGUUCAUUUCAAUUAUUUUACUGAUUCUUAUCAUAACCAUCAUUGUCGUCAUCAUUGUUGUUUUUUAAUCUCUUUUUGAUAACGAUAAGUUUAGGUCUUCCUUUUAUUUAGUUUCCUUUGGAUGGUGUUUUUUUUUUUUUUUUUUUUUUGUGUGUGUGUGUGUGUGUGUGUCUUUUAUAAUAUUCUUUAGGCUGGAGUUUAGCGUGCUUGUGUGAGGGAAUUUUAUUUGGAGGUCUAAGUACGUUCUUAGCCGUUGAACUUUGUUAAUACGUGGAACUCACAAUUGAAAGGAUGGUGGCUUGAUUUUCUGGGUUGUUACUGUUGGCAAUGGGUUAUAGGGUACAAUUCCUCUUCCAACUCCGCGACUGGCCAGUAUCUUCUUUUCAACUUAUUCUUAUAGUUUUCAUCAAGUGAUAACGAUGAUUGAAAUUGCAAUUUUAUGAAGCACUGGGGGGAAAUAUUUCACCAUCCUAAUUAUUUGGUUUUGACUCAUCCGAUUCACUGAGGCUUAUUUUCCUCAUCACAAACAGUGGCAUGCUGUGGUUGAAGUGAAACUAAUUCAUAGAUACAGCAUAUCUGUUAAACGAACUGUUUUUUCUAAAUAGAAUUUACCUCAAAACCUUCGAGGAGUGUGCCUGUAUAUAAUCGUGAAAGGCCGAAGCAGAUGGUGCUUUUGCCUGCACAUCUUUAUGCUUUUUCUCUGCGUAACAAUCUUUUUGAUGGAGAUAAUGCUAUGGGAACUCUUUCGGACUGUUGGUUUUUCUGUAAAGUUGAUUAAAUUUCAAGUUUUAACUGAAUCCUAUGUCUUGCUGUUGCAGCUCUCGCGGGCAUGUCUUACAAGGAAUCUAAUACUUGCAUACCAAAGUUUUGGAGUAGUGUAUGGAGAUUUGAGCACUUCACCGCUCUACGUUUACUCAAGUACAUUUGCUGGGAAGUUGCAAAAACAUCGAACUGAGGAAGUAGUAUUUGGUGCAUUCUCCUUGAUCUUCUGGACUUUUACAUUGAUACCAUUGUUAAAGUAUGUCUUCAUUGUAUUGAGCGCAGAUGACAAUGGCGAAGGUAUGGGUUGGAUUGCAGUACUUAGCUCGUUCACUUAUGUGAGAUUUAAUCAAUCCUCUAAGGUUCUUUUGUGCGCCAUUUGUUCUCUGGCUGCAGGAGGAACAUUUGCUCUUUACUCCCUGCUCUGCCGACAUGCUAAGUUGAGUUUACUUCCUAACCAACAAGCAGCGGAUGAGGAGCUCUCAGCAUACAGAUAUGGUCCAUCUUCUCACGCAGUAGCCCCUUCUCAACUAAAAAGGUUUUUGGAAAGGCAUAAAACACUUAGGACAAUCUUACUUCUUGUCGUAUUAUUUGGUGCUUGCAUGGUCAUUGGUGAUGGAGUGCUAACUCCUGCAAUUUCAGGUUUGAUAUUUACUAUUUGUCAUAAGCGUUAAGGUUUGGAAGGACCUGUAGGUGUUUGAUUUUCUUUCCAUUAUAAUUAAGGAUUCUGAAUACAUAGACGUGUCUUCUAGUGUUUUGGCAGUUCUUUGAUUUCAACAGAAUGUACCAUGCAUGUCAUCUAAGUACACAUUUUUUCAUUUUCUUUUCGAGUGUGAGCUACUUUGUUUUCUUUACAUUAACAAUUGACUUUCAGUCUGACUUACGCACAUCUAAGGAGUGUAAGGUAUAAGAAACCUGGAAGCUGGAAGUAUUACUUAAAACAAAAAGACAACGUAAGGGCAGGGGAAGAGGAAUCUCCCUCCCAAAGAGGCUAAAUUACAGAUGUGAUUUGUUAAUGAUCAGCAAUAUUAGAUAAUUACAAAAAAAGUUGCCGUUGCUGUGACACCACCAAGUGACUGUGAACUGUACACUGCUUGAAACAAGUUUUAUUGAGAAAAAUGAAAGAAUACUUGAGCAUACUAAAAAACCAAGCCCAAAAUAAGGAAUACCCCUACAGAAUUAGGAAGAGACUCCAACUAUUUAAAAUAACUUCUAUACAAUAGUUACAAAAGGUUUUUGAAAUCAAAGCUUACAAAGAAACAUGAAAGUAAACAAGACAUCAAACCUCUCUAGGUUUCUAUCAAUCCCUCUAAAGUUCCUAUUAUUCCACUCCACCCACAAAGCUCAUAAGAGCACACACACCCCAACGAGUCGUAGAAAAUGACCCUUCUUCCCUCUAGAUGGGUUGAGGAGGAAUUCCUUGAUCAUUCCUCUAGUGUUCCUCUGAUGAGCGAAUGAAAAGCCAAAUGUCUAAAAAUUUAACUGCCAAACUGAACUUGCAUGAUCACAAUGCCAUAGUGGAGAACUUAUCUUGAUCUAGUUUCUUAUUUUCUUUCGAACUAGCAGCUUCACACCAAUGCCUAAGAGCAGAAUCCUGCGUGUAAGCUGUAUAGAAAACAAAGAAUAUUUUGCUUUGACUAACAUCUGAUAAUAGAUAUUACUUAUGGAGAUGAGGCUAAUAGAUGAUUACAAGUAACAACUAUCAGUCAUAGAACAGCCACCGACUUUCCCAGCCUACCAUUUUCCAUGAAGCAAAGAUAAAAGAAGUCAAUCGUGAAGAACAAUACCCUUUGAACUUUAUGAAAAGAAAUUGCAAAGUAGUGGGCAUGAAUUUAUGGUUAGCGAUCUGUAUCACUGUGCUGCAAUAUUUCAACCUUGUUGUGUCCCUGUUCAAUUGUAGGAGACAAGUUAUCAAUUUGAAAAGAGAAUAAAACUUUCCAAUGGAAGCUAUCUUUACCUGCAAUUUGUUUUUAUACUUUUACUACUUUCUUGAACCAAAGAAUCGAUCUUGUGUCCAGUCCGACAUGAAAUUCAAUUAUACAUUGUUGACUGCCAUACUGGUACCAGCUUUAUGGCUUCUGGAUGGCUUACAAUUUUGGUCUUCAUGAUCUUAAAAUUUUUUUGGCUCAUGUGUCCUUUUCCUUGCAGUUCUAUCAUCAGUUUCAGGUUUACAAGUUACUGAAGCAAAAUUGACCAACGGUAAUCUAUUAUCUUUACAUAGGGCUAACUAUGAUGCUUA